AGAAAAGUACUUCCUUUAUAUAUCAAAAUGUAAAGAUGUUUUUUUCUGGUUUUGCAUAGGGUAUAAAAACGUCUUAUAUUUUGUUACAGAUGGAGUAGAAAUAAAAGAGAAAGCAUAGCGAUGGAGCUAAACUGAUAAGCUGUUGCAUUUUUCAUCAGCAUUACUUCGUUCACUGUCAAUAGACAGCAUGCAGAACAGUUCCAAGACUGAAACGGACACAAACGUACAUGGCCGGACCAUUUGGACCGCUGUGUUGGAGUUGCUCUUAUUUCCUCGUCUAUUGUGGCGAGAUCGACAGCCUCUAACGACCGAGGACACAUGAAACCGCUGAAGUCACACACACAGGCCUGACUAAAAAAAGAGAUCAUCAUCCGACGCCCACUAUUCGAGGCGGAACUUGAAGGUGGAGCAGUGACCUAUAGCGAAGCCAUGGCCGCACCUCCAGCUCGACCCUCUCUUCUGGUUAUAACCAGGGUAGUCUUCUAUCUGAAAGGCAGCUUUCUCGACCAUAGCAAGCGAGGACUCGGAUGCUAGCUGCUCGAUACACCACAUGGAGAACGGAUGCUUGGUCUUGUGGGUGACGUGGAUCUCGCCGUGACGCCGGAGCAUGUGCCGCGCGGUGGCGAAGAAUCUCCACACCAGCUUCUGAUGCGACCUACACACAAGCGAGAUCGAUCGAUCGAUGGACAUCAGGUUCAUAUGUUAAGAGGUUUAAACAUAAGAUAGAUAGAUUACCACACAGGAGUCAAGACACUCAUACCUGAUUGUAUCUUCGUCGUCCUCGCGCCCUCUGAACCCGGCGUGAGGAAAAUUGAAGACGAUCCGAUCGAACAGUCUCGGCUCCAGAUCGGCGUGGAGAUUCAUCACUUUCACGUUGACGUCGUGCAGAACCGUGGCACCCAUCGCCUCAAGCUUCGCCACAUUGGAUGUUGCGUCGCUGUAGUUGUGGCUCAGACUCUCUGUCCAAGAGGAUUGCACGCAAAAGACGCGUGGGAAAUAGUUCAGUGCAAACUAAUUAAAGCCGAUGAUCAGAAAAAUCACACCGGGCCAAGGUAAGCAUGGGCAUGCACGCAUGUACGUUGAUGCUCAAAGAUAGAGCUACUCGCAGGCAUAUGGGCAGCGAGAGAGCUAGACGAAAGGGCCGAACCGUAGGAGUCGAGGGACGUGGCGACGAGGUUCUCGCCGGAGCCGAAGGCGGUGGCGAGCGCCAGCGAGAACGAGAAGUCCCCGUCGCCGACGACCAGGAUGUCCUGCGCCGAAGAGUAGUGCUUCAGCCACUUGGUUUCCGCCGCCCCAUCGUUCCACGCCACGGCCAUCGCCUGCACCUCGCCGGCGCUAUGUGCCAGUGAGUGUGAGGAACUGAGGAAGCGUGUGGGAGUCGAGUCUCAGUUCGAACUGAACCGUCCAAGGGGAGGGUUUUUGACCUCCGUGGAAGGGAGAUCAAGGGGCUGGGUCGCGCCUUGUGUUCUGCGCAUCUGCUGUGGAGUGAUCUUGGGCCGGACGUCCUCCAUAAAUUCUGCGCUCAUGCAUGGGAAUCCAGAAUGCUGAGUAGAUGGCCUUUAUUACGAAGUUUAAGAACUUUGAACGGUCUAUUUAUGUUUUUUUGCGAAUAAAUUCUUGCAUUACUCAAAAUCAAAUAUUUAUGUUUGAUCCUUUGGAUCAGUUGUCCCAGUAAGCCUUUUCAUUCUUGUACGAUUUCCAAAUUUUGGAGCGUACAAGAUUUCCGUGGAGAAAAUUAACAACCAGACAAGAAGGUACAACUGUACACACUAUGAAAAAAUAUACUCCAUCUAUUCCAUAUUCUACUGCGCGUAGGGUUUUGGGUCAUAUUCCAAAAUGUAGUGCGUUUAAGCGUCUUUAGUCAAAAAUAGCCCUCCGCUGAAUUAGUGCACCGAAAGCUACAUGCAUGCACGCUGCAUGAUAGUCUGAACAGUGAGGGGCAAUUCUAGUCCAAAUAAAAGGGCCAGCUCAUGUUUCGGUGUAAGGGCAUCUCCAACAGCUGUAAGAUAGGUGUUGAUAAAUUUGCCAUCUAGGACAUAUUGAUGAUGUGGCAUGUAAUAAAUGUGGAGAGAGAGCAAAAUUGUACUAUGUAGAAUAACCAAUAACCUUUGCACAAGCUCCAAGGUGAAAUAGAGAGCAAUCACAUUUAUUUUCUCAUCAUCUAUUGGAUACCUUAGAUACAACCCAUUGGAUUAGUUGUAUGAUAGCUUGUUGGUUGAUGACAUGAACAUUUUACCAACAAGACUAACAUACAAUCUAUUGAAGAUGCCCUAAGUGUCACAAACAAGACGCACUAUAAAAGCGAACGGCGGGAGUAUUAAAGUUUGCCCGCAAGAAAAAAUAUACUACACCCCACAAAAUUUGAACUAAAACCAUGUUAGUUAUUUCUGAAUGGAGGUAAUAUAUUAAAAUUGAUACCAAGUACAUCCGACCUCUAUGAGAAGUCGAUAGUAAUAUAUUUUUCCUUUAUCAAAAAUAUUGCUUAGAAAUAUUCAAAAUAUAUAUCACUUAGAAUGACAAACAUUUUGGGCAAUAUCUCAACAUGCAUUGCUUGUGCAAAAAAAAUACUAAUUCCUAAUGACUCACCGAAAGGUUUUUCCCAUGGGGUGGUGGUGAUUUUUCAGUAUGUAGACACCAUGGCACUUUUAUCACAGCUCUCACCCAAAUGGUUGAUUGAGUGAACAAUUUCUGGAUUUCAUGUAUGUUAGAGCAACUACAGUCGAGCGCCUCAGACCCCUCUCAAACGCCUAGGCGGACGGCCUGGUCCAUGACCUAGGCGGGCACUUCAAACCAUGGUCAAUCAUGAUUUUUUAUUGCGGUCAAUCAUUCUGCUAAGCCACUUAUUACUAAGGGGUACUUCAAACCCGUGCAACUUAUUACUAAGGGGUAUAAACCCGCGCAACUACUAUCAACUUAGUAGUAGCGCCGAUUUAUACCCCUCGCUACUAGUAAGUACAAGGUAGGUGAAAUCCCCAUAUCCUCGGUCGAAUCCCUCCUUUCUCCCUCACUCUCCCUCCUCUCUUCAUAGGCUCUCCCAUGGUGCUGCACACCUCCUCCUCCAUGGCGCCCAACGAGUUCACCUCCUCGCAUCGCGUGCCUCCCCCUCCAUGGUGCCAAAAGAGGGAGGCCACCUCGCGCCGCCGGCGUCCCGGAGCUCGCCGGUCUUCCCUGCAUCUCCAUGCCACCACGUCGGACCACCUCACCACCGGCGACGAGCCCCGGUGCGCCCUCCAUCUCAUUCCUUUCUUCCUUGUUUCUCUUUUCCCUCUCCAUGUCCCUCCGAUUUUACUCACCUCCCAUGCCCAUGCCUGCGCAGGUCGUCGGCAUGGCCAACGAGGAGCUCUCUGCCUUGGCCGUGAAGAGGACCCUCACACCGUCGUCUUGCUCUCCUCUGCACUAGAUCCGGUCCCUCUACAACAGCCGUCGUUGGAUCUGGUCUCCGCUGCCCGACAUCAUGCAUGGGGUUGAGAUUUUUUUUGGUUUUUGAAAUUAAUAGUAGUAGCGCGGGUCAGACACGUGCUACAGAUAGUUAAUAGUAGCGCAUGUCGAACCCGCGCUACUACUAACACACGUACUAGUAGCGCGGGAUGCACCGCAUUACUACUACUAGUUAGCUGUAGCGCCGUAGUAGUAGCGCAGGCACCGCGCUAGUAAUAGCUUUUAACCCAUGCUACUACUAGGCUUUUUCCUAAUAGUGUAUUUAGAUGACUUCCAUGAGGAGGCUAAUUCAAGUGAAUUCAAUCUGUCAUUUUGCAUGGUAGGGAUCAGAUAAGUUGUCAGUACGAGUAUAUCACAUCAUGGUCAUAUCUUGAUUUUACUAACAGAAAUAACCAAGUCAUGUUGUGAGCUUGAGAUAUAAGUGGAUAUCCCUUACACCAACCAAAUACCUUUGUUGGGGGUUCCACAUUGAACAAGGAUAGCAAAAUAUAGUUUCAGGUCUAACGUAGUUUGCAAUGACAUGAGUCUCCGAUGUUAGUGAGAUACGGAACUUCAGGUCCUGAUAUCACUUCAUUAUCACCCCUAGAUAGGAAAGGAUUUGUAUCCCUAUAAGAGAUAAUAUGACCAUAGAUGUAAUUUAUUGGUAUGAUAUAUCCAUAUUGAACUUUCCAUAUACGUUUCGGAUAUAUGUAGACUGAUAUGUAUGUAUUCUUAGAGAAUGCUCCAGUUAUAAAUUUAAACACAAUUUUGUUGAAUCUGAAAUUUUCAUCUUAAGAUCAUUUUGUGUAUGUUUAGGUCUUGUAUGGACAUUAAUGAUGAGUUCAUCGAUAUACACUAAGGUGAUGCACCAAAGUCAAGUUUUAUAUUCAUUUAUUAAACACAUAAAUAAGCAUCAUUAUUUGAGAAUUUCUUUGCAAGAAAGUACUCAUUUAGUCGGUAGUACUACAAUAUAAUUCUCUGACUAUAUAAAGUCAUGAAGCAACUUAUGAAGUUUUACAGUCCACUUGCCGACUCUUCUAGGCGUUUUGCUGGGCGUGCGUUGAUUUGGUCGGUUCUUGAGUCAUAGCUACACGUGAUGGGUGCCCCGCAUUUGUCGUGAUGCGACCUUGGUGUCCUCUGUCUCAUUUCCUUACCUUUCCUGAGGUUGGCCUAGGCUAGUUCAGGUUAUGUUGUUUUCCUUGUUCUGCUUCCCACAUUUUGGUGUGGUGCCCUCUCUCCCUUCUCUAUGCAAGGUUUUCUUCUUGUAUUAUUGUCUCUACCUACGAAUGAAAAGAUACGCAAGUGAAAAAAAAUACCACGCUGGCUAGCAGAAUUCAUAAAAUACGUACUCCAUGGAAGUCUACGAGUGAAAAGAUACGCAAGUGAAAUAUUUUUUACCACGAUGGCCAUCACAAUUCAUAAAAUACGUACUACAUGGAAGUCUACAAGGAGUAUAGUAAUCUACACAGUGAUGGGUCGAUGUCUCAUGAGCAUGCACGCCAUGUCCAUGGAAGUGGGUGGCAGUACAUGCGAUGCGACGGUCAAGCAGCGUCACAAGGUGCUCGUAAAAGGCCCAAUUUACGUCGGCGCCAGCGAGGGAAAUUUAGCGAGGCCAGCGCUGGAACUUGAAAGUGCAGCCGUUGCGUAGAGGGAAUUCCUCGUCGCACCUGUCACCGUCGCCUCUCUUCUGGUUAUACCCGGGGUAAUCCUCUUUACGGAAGGCGACCAUCUCAAACCUGAGAAGCGAAAACUCAAGGGCGAGACCCUCGAUUUCCCAUCUGUCGUACGGCUGCCCCGUCUUGUGGCUGACGUGUAUCUCGACGUGGGUGGCAGAAGUUUGUCACAUUGAUGCGUGCUUUCAACAGAACCAUUAAUCAAUUAUCAUUAACGGAAUGGAAUGCAACGUUUGCUUCCUAACGAAAUUGAACAGUUUGGAGUGUUCGGUAGGCAGGUUACUAGAGAUGAGAUGUUCUUCGAAUAUUUGAUGGCCACAAGUUUAUUUCUGCUAUGACUGGGAGUAAGAGUGAAUCACUAGCUUUUCUCUCGGGCUUUAUAUAUGAAAGACCAGAAGGGGCCUUUUGAACAAGAGCUUUGCUACACGUAUGAUGGUUACGGGAUAAGGGGAUUACACGGUGUCAUGGCAGUUUCUAAUUGGUCAUUAGUAGAUGCACGGGCCCACGCCCAUUAAAAUAGGUGAGGAGGAGGGGGGGCAUGUUUAGAACAAUAAUGCUACACCUACGUAGACUUACGUUCUCCUCCUACGUAACCUUCCUAACAAACCUCUCCACCCCCCUAAUUACAAGUGGGUGAGCCCCCACUCCCCUAAUUCGUCCAAUAGAAAACUACUACACACAUCAUUACGUUAAUCACAUAAAACUAUUUACGUAGGUGUAGCAUCUGCCAUGUUUAGAAUGUUUGAAAGGAGCCUAAAUAACCCCUGUAAAAACAAUGCACGGCAUGAGGGGGUACGUGGUUCGCUUUCUAUUUUCGAAUCAAUCUGCAAAGAGGAAGCCAACAACAACAAAACAUGUGAGGGAAUAAACCACCCCACGAAGCUGUGUAAAGGCAUCUCCAAUGCCGAUCCACAAAUUCCUUCGGUAUAUGUUUUAUGUCCGGACGUGGUUCGCGGAUAAGAAAAGGGAGGAAGUCACACUAGUAGAAAACAUGCCCAAGCAGGAGCAUCUUUGGUCCCAGUUGGUAACACCAACCGGGACCAAAAGGCAUCCACACGUCAGCAGCUGGCAGGAGCAGGGGUUUUUAUUUUAUUUUUUAAAGGGGGGGUGUCGGUGUCAAAACCGGCGGAUCUCGGGUAGUGGGUCCCGAAUUGUGCGUCUAGGCCGGAUGGUAACAGGAGGCAGGGAACACGAUAUUUUACCCAGGUUCGGGCCCUCUUGAUGGAGGUAAAACCCUACGUCCUGCUUGAUUAAUAUUGAAGAUAUGGGUAGUACUCCCUCCGUUCCUAAAUAUAAGUCUUUGUAGAGAUUUCACUAUGGACCACAUACGGAUGUAUAUAGAUGCAUUUUAGAGUGUAGUUCAUUCAUUUUACUUCGUAUGUGGUCUAUAGUGAAAUGUCUCCAAAGACUUAUAUUUAGGAACGGAGGGAGUACAAGAGUAGAUCUACCACGAGAUCAAGGAGGCUAAACCCUAGAAGCUAGCCUAUGGUAUGAUUGUUGUAUAUGGAGUUGAUUGCCUACGGACUACAACCCUCCGGUUUAUAUAGACACCAGAUAGGGUUAGGGUUACAUAGAGUCGAUUACAAUGGUAGGAGAUCUUGAAUAUCCGCAUCGCCAAGCUUGCCUUCCACGCCAAGGAAAGUCCCAUCCGGACACGGGACGAAGUCUUCAAUCUUGUAUCUUCAUAGUCCAGGAGUCCGGCUGAAGGUAUAGUCCGGCUACCUGAACACCCCCUAAUCCAGGACUCCCUCAGUAGCCCCUGAACCAGGCUUCAAUGACGACGAGUCCGGCGCGGAAAUUGUCUUCGGCAUUGCAAGGCGGGUUCCUCCUCCAAGUCCUUCAUAGAAGAUUGUAAACACCAAGAGUAGUGUCCGGCUCUGCAAAAUAAGCUUUCACAUAUUUCCAUAGAGAGAAUAAUAGUAACAGAAAUCAAAUCUGCUGACGUAUUCCGCAGUGCGUCAACACACUAUAGCCAAGUCCUUCACUCGAAUCGUUUUCACAUUUCCACCUCAGCGUGUUUUGCGAGGCGGUUUCCUUGGCACGUCUUGUCAAAGCAGAGAUCGUGUACCCCCCUUUUACUAGAUUCUCAUCAAUUCGGACGUGGGUAACCCAACUGCGCCACUUAUCACGGCGCUUAGGAGGCAAGCGAGUUUUACUAGGCAGAUGGGGACGCACAACCGCAUCCGCCCAUAUAAGGGGACAAGGAUCCACCUUUUUACCUACGCCUUCUUCCUCCUUUGCCUAUCCAUCUCCUGCGCACCCGAGCUCCAACGCCCAAGCCCGCACUUCCCACCUCAACCUUCUCCAGCAAUGUCCGGAGCGGGAGGCAAGUCGAUGGUCUCCUCCGUCACGGAGGGCAAAGUCAAGAAGCUAAGGAAGGCCGGAUACCUGUCCAAGGACAUCGCGCAUCGGCUUCUCGAAGAGGGGCAGCUUCUCCCCACCCCAAGGCCCCAUGAGAGGGUAGUAUUUCUCCCCCACUUCCUCCGCGGACUGGGUUUUCCACUCCACCCAUUUGUUCGGGGGCUCAUGUUCUACUACGGCCUGGAUUUCCACGAUCUGGCUCCGAACUUCAUCCUCAACAUCUCGGCGUUUAUCGUCGUGUGCGAGGCUUUUCUCCGCGUCCGCCCUCAUUUCGGCCUCUAGCUCAAGACCUUCAACGUCAAGCCCAAGGUGGUGCGCGGCAGCCAGGCGGAGUGCGGAGGCGCCAUGGCGGGCAAGAUGGCGAACGUCCUAUGAUUCGAGGGAUCUUUCAUGGAGACCCUAAAGGGAUGGCAAUCUGGGUGGUUUUAUAUCACCGAGCCGCGCGAUCCAAAAUGGACCGCAGCCCCCGAGUUCCGAUCCGGACCCCCUACACGGCUUAUGUCCUGGAAAGAGACAGGCCUGUCAUGGGGUGACGAAAAAGAGGUGACCGGAUUGCAAACAUGCAUCCAGUCCCUGGUGAACAAGCCUGUCCGGCUUGUUAAUGUAAUCCAGGUUAUGCUCAUCCGUCGGAUCCUCCCGUGCCAACAACGGGAUUUUAAUCUGUGGGAGUUCGACCCGGCGCAGCAUCAAACCCUCAGCAGGCUCUUCGACACGACGUACGAAGACGCCUGGAAGAUGCUAUUCAAGGGCGCCGAGGCUCCCGCAUCCGCUUCCGAGGACCGCGGAUACAGCUCACAGCGUCACGCUAGCGAGGUAUGCCAUCUACACCUUUUACAGGAUGUUAAGCUUUUUUCAUAGUUUGACUCUAUGUGGGAUCUAAACUCCCUUACCUUUGACAGGCUUGGCGGGCGAUAUUCGGACCGAUUAACUGUCCGGCUCCGCUGCCCGAAGACCCAGCCCCAGCUCUACUAGCAAAGCUGCUGGUUCCGGCGCCUUAUGUGGUGCCGGAGAAGAAGGCCAAGAAGAAGAAGACCACGGGGACUCGAAAGAGUGCCCGCAACGUGGUGGUGUCGGACUCGUCAUCUGACGAGUCCGAGACGCCCUCCUCCCGCGAAAACGAGGAGGAGGAAGAAGAAAACUCUCCCCCCCCAGCGGAGGGAGGAGAUAAGAGGAACGCCGCCCCAACGAGAGAGGACGAGGGGUCUAGGAAAAGGAAGACCCCUCCGCCGAACUAUGCCCCCAACACCGAAGAGGGCAGAGAGGAGUGGCCAAACAGGGCCAAGCGUCCGGCGAAAUCGUAAGUUCGGAUAUCAGAGUAACUCAUGAUGUUCCUUUGUUGCACAGCUUUCCCUAAUGUCGAAUGUAAUUAUGCAGUCCGCCCCGGGCCGAAUUUGACAAAUCAUCGGGCGGCUCCCUGGACUCAUCGGACGUGAACUCAGUUCCGCCCGCUGUCUCCCCCCGCACUGCAGAUGACGCCGAAGUGGCGUCGCAACAAGCUCCGGGGCAGGAGGAGGUGGUCCCGGAGGAGCCGCAAGGCAACCUCCCGGACUCCGGGAGUGAAGGGGAUAAGGCUCCUCAAGGCUCUCAGUCCGGCUUUGUGCCGGACACCGCACCGAAAUCUUCCACAGUUUCGGACCGCGGUAGGCGAACUCCUUCCAAGAGGAGCAAGCCUUCUCAGCCGGCGGCCUCCGUCCAACCGGAGGUGUCGGACAAUCUGCUGGAGGUGCUUGACGACGCCUCCAUCGACGAGGGGCACCGUACUAUUAUGAGUACGGUGAUCCAGAAGGUUCAGUCCACCAAGAGCGGACUGACUGAAGCUUGCGCUAGCCUUCUAAUAGGCUUCGAGGUAAGUAAAAAUAUGUAAAAAUAUUACCGCAUAGACAGUAGCCCCUGAUGCUCUGUUUGGCGUUCGGAAAGAAAAGCCGAAUAGAGGAUCUAUUAAUUUCAAUAUGCGUAUGCAGGCUUUGCUGCUAUCCACCGCUGCACUAACUGCGGAGGUGGGUGUCCUGAAGCAGGACCUCGAGCGGACCGAGCAAGAGCUCGGCCUUGCCAAGCGGCGGCUCAAGGAGGAAGAAGGUAAGAAAUACCUUACAGGAAAAGUGCCUAUAAAAAGGCUUGAUUGCAAAAAGAGUAACAGGAUUGUACUGCUUAUUGUAGGGGCCACGACUGAGGUGGCGACCCUUAAGCAGGCGCUGUUUGAGGCCGAAAAGAAAACGGCCGCGGAGCGCACCGAGCGAGACAGACUUGGGGCUCAGGUCGGCGAGGUGCAGCAAGAGCUUCAGGCUCUCAUGAAAAAACAUGAGAGUUUGGAGCUGGAGUCGAAGGCGCAAGCAUCCGAGCUUGCAACGGCCCUAGAGGCUGCCAAGUCUGCCAAGGCCGAAGCCCAAAAGGCCCUCCAAGAGUUGGAGGAGAUGAGGAAGAUAGCAGCGGGUAAGGCAUUCUUUAUGCAAAGCAGAAAUAUAAAAGUGAACUACCUGUUACUUACUCGAAUCCGAAGCUCUCCAGGGGCAUUCGCAGAUCUUCCCCGCAGAGUAUCCGACGCCGCCGCAUUCUACCGAGCUGAAGAGGGUAGCUCGAUGGAGAAGGUGUUCUGGUCUCAGUAUUCUGAGGCCGGACACCCUGUGCCCUUGAGCGACCAGCUGAAACAGCUGGUCGAGCUCCACAAGGCGGCCGAGCAGGCCAUGAAGGGCUUCAUAGUUCGGCUGUGGCCCGGAGAGGCCUUGCCUGGGAGCUAUUUCGGGCUGGUGCGGCGGCUGGUGGAGGCCUGUCCGAGGCUUGAGGUCAUCAAGCGCUCCGUCUGCAUCGAAGGUGCCCGUCGGGCCCUUGCCCGUGUGAAGGUGCACUGGGGUAAGCUGGACGGUGAGAAGCUUGUGAAGGACGGGCCGCCGCCGGGGAAGGAGCAUCGCAAGCCCGAGAACUACUACAAGGAUGUUCUUGCAGGUGCCCGCCUUGUGGCGGAUGAAUGUACCAAGGAUGUGAUGUUUGAAUGAACUCGCUCGUGUUUAUCCUGUGCGCUGAAAACUUGUUCAUAUGCGCUAAGCAAUGCUUAUUGAAUUUAAAAUAUUACUUUCUGUGCGGCCGUUUAUCAAAAAAUUGAGAGAUGGCCAGUCGUCGGCUUCUGCCCCCGUGCCACUAGUGCUGGGGUGUUCGGGAUAAACCUGAGCGCUCUUUUUCCCAUAGUUGGGUCCUUCGAGGGAGGCGCUCAGCACAACGAACCACGCAAUCGGACUAUAAUGCUUGAACACUCUCACUUAGCCAUAGAACUCUAUAAUUUUAAAUUUCAGUGAAGCCCCUAGUUUGGAAGACCGAGUUCGGGGCGCUAUCCACGCCUUGGCCGGACAAAGCCAGCUCCUCGCUCGAAGCGGCAUAAGCCUUUAGGGACUCGAAAAACCUCUCGAACAGUGACCGGUCUCUCGCCACAUCAUGAUAGUCAGUUUUAGCUUUCUCCACUGAGGUGCUUAACCCAGCUGAACUGGGGCACAAUCGCAGUAGUUCUCCUAGUGCUACCUUAGCCGAUAGAGCGGAACGUAAGGCACCAAAACAUAGGAGCCGGGCAAACCCAACUAUUGACCCAAAUCAUGAUUCGGAGCCGAUGCAUAUAGUGCUAUAAGUUCGGGGUGCCGCACUUGUGAAAGUGUACGGACUUCUCACACCAUUAUGAGGGGUACUGAAGCCCCUGGCGUGUUUGUCGUACCAUGGUGUACGGGUGCAAUCAUGUCAUUUAAUAAACAUAAAUGUGAAAAGAAGAUAAUGCAAAAAAUAGACAAGAAGCUAAGCAUUGUUUAUAGAGAGGCUAUUUAUCAAAGCCGAACGAUACAAAUAGUGUGGUAAGCAAAAGAUAUUGGACUAUUCAGUAUGUCCUGACCAGGGGCAGGCCGCGGAAUUGUAUUUAAAACAGGUAUACCGCUCGUAACAGAGACCACCUGGGAGUUCCAUAAUGCGGCAUGGCUUAUCUGCCUCCCUGGAUCUUGCAUCGUUUGUGCGGCAGUCGAAUUGCCGAACAGGUCGUCCGAAGUAUGGAGUCCUGAAAGUAAGAAAAAAUUAAAAAAGAAUCCGGCAGCCCCUAGUACGUUUUAAGCCAUAUUUUGGGUGUGCCGUUAUUGUGCCCCUUCCCCUGUGCCCAUGGUAUUUCAAGGGCGUAGUUAUGUACGCGAGGUACUGGUUUCGCUAUGUCGCGAAAGCUGGGGUUGGGGCCACAUUGCUACGCUUGCUCAGAGUGUGCCAGGCGGUCCUGCUGUGGGUUACUCCGGGCGCGCUUGGCAGUGUCUGGCUUUUUAAUGGCCGGACUAGAGAAUUGCCUGAGAAGGCUACUUUGUACCUCCGCUGCGAGAGCCGCCGUAUGCUCCUCCGUACGGAGGGAGCGUUCGGUGUUUCCGUUGACCGUAAUUACUCCUCGAGGGCCUGGCAUCUUGAGCUUGAGAUAUGCGUAGUGCGGCACCGCAUUGAACUUUGCGAAUGCGGUUCGUCCGAGCAGGGCGUGAUAGCCACUAUGAAACGGGACUAUAUCGAAUAUUAACUCGUCGCUUCGGAAAUUGUCCGGGGAUCCGAAGACCACGUCAAGUGUUACUGAGCCUAUACAGUUGGCUUCUACACCUGGUAUAACGCCUUUAAAGGUCGUUCUUGUGGUCUUAAUCCUUGAGGGAUCUAUGCCCAUUUUCCGCACUGUAUCCUGAUAAAGUAGGUUCAGACUACUGCCGCCGUCCAUGAGGACUCUUGUGAGAUGAAAUCCGUCGAUGAUUGGGUCGAGAACCAAUGCGGCGAAGUCGCCAUGACGGAUGCUAGUGGGAUGGUCCCUUCGAUCAAAAGUGAUCGGGCAGGAGGACCAUGGGUUGAACUUUGGGGCGAGUGGCUCCAUCGCGUAUAUGUCCCAUAGCGCACGCUUCCGCUCCCGCUUGGGAAUGUGGGUUGCGUAUAUCAUGUUCACCGUCCGCACUUGUGGGGGAAAGCCCUUCUGUCCAUUAUUGUUCGGCGGCUUGGGCUCCUCGUCGUCGCUGUGCAGCCCCUUGUCUCUGUUUUCGGCCCUUAACUUGCCUGCCUGCUUGAACACCCAACAAUCCCUGUUAGUGUGAUUGGCAGGCCUUUCGGGGGUGCCAUGUAUCUGGCACAAGCGAUCGAGUAUUCGGUCCAAACUGGACGGGCCCUGAGUAUUCUUUUUGAAUGGCUUUUUCCACUGACCGGAUUUAUAGCCUUUGAAUCCGGCAUUGACUGCCGUGUCUUCAUUGCUGUCGCUGCUAACGCGGUGUUUUUGCUUAUUCCGACAUGUCCUGCCACUUUUAUCCUUGGUAUCCGAAUUACCAGGGCUCUUUGAUAAGUUGUUACUAUGAGCUAGCCAGCUGUCUUCUCCCGCGCAAAAGCGGGUCAUGAGUGUUGUGAGGGCUGCCAUGGAUUUCGGCUUUUCCUGUCCCAGGUGCCGGGCAAACCACUCGUCGCGGAUGUUAUGCUUGAAGGCUGCUAGGGCCUCUGCGUCCGGACAGUCGACUAUCUGGUUUUUCUUUGUUAGGAACUGUGUCCAGAAUUGUCUGGUCGAUUCCUCUGGCUGCUAAAUUAUGUGGCUUAAGUCGUCGGCAUCGGGUGGUCGCACGUAAGUGCCCUGGAAGUUGUCGAGGAAUGCGGCUUCCAGGUCCUCCCAAGAACCGAUUGAGUCUGCUGGCAAGCUGUUAAGCCAAAGCCGGGCCGGUCCUUUAAGUUUGAGCGGGAGGUAUUUGAUGGCGUGUAGAUCAUCGCCGCGUGCCAUGUGGAUGUGAAGGAGAUAAUCCUCGAUCCAUACCGCCGGAUCUGUUGUGCCAUCAUAUGAUUCGAUGUUUACGGGUUUGAAACCCUCUUGGAUUUUAUGAUCCAUUACUUCAUUCGUGAAGCAUAGCGGGUGUGCGGCGCCUCUGUACUGGGCUAUAUCACGACGCUGCUCGGAAGAGCUAUGUCUGUUGUGUUCGGCCCGGCCGGAUUUGUUGUAUCCGGAGUGAAGAUCAUUGUCACAUGUCGUAGGGCGCCUGCGCGAUCCGUAGAUCGAUCUUGUUUGUCUUGCCUUAUCCUCCAGUAUGUCUCGCAGGUCAGGCGCAUUUUCCCGUGCCUUAGUUGAGCGGUGGCGGGGCAUGGCUUGGGUUGAGGGCCGAGAGGCCUCUCUGUCGCGGCUGCGAGGUGGCCGGUCUGCCAUGUCAUGUGUUGGUGAUGUAGGUGCUUCCUCCUCUGAUCGGGGUAGCGGCCUGCGCUUCGGGUAACUCUUGGAGGGGCGUUCGAGUUCAUACUCUUCGGCUGCAAGGACUUCAGUCCAUCUAUCAGCUAGCAAAUCUUGGGCAGCUCUAAGCUGUUGCUGCUUUUUCUUGAGGCUGCUUGCCGUGGCUAAAAGCCUGCGUUUAAAACGCUCUUGUUCGGCGGGGUCUGAUGGUAUGCCGAAUUCGUCGUCAUCGAGGCUUGCCUCGUCUCCGGAGGGAGGCGUAUAGUUAUCAUCCUCGACCUCUCGGUCUGCCGCUCUCUCAUGAGGGCUGGCUUCUCCAUCUUCUUGUGCCGAAUCUUGCUGAGGUGGGUGUUCUUCGGCGCUAUCCGGGGUAGUAUUAUCUCCCGUGCCGGAAUCACCAUUUUUGCUUUGGCGGGAUUUAGAGCGGCGCCGCUGACGCCGACGCUUUGGUUGUUUCUUGGGGGCGUCAUCCCCCACUGUUCCAUCGCCAUCUCCAUCUUUUGGAGUAUCCACCAUAUAUAUGUCAUAUGACGAGGUGGCCUUCCAGUGCCCUACUGGUGCUGGUUCCUGUUCGUCUCCUACAUCGUCGUCCAUGCCGUCGAUGUCUUCGGAGCUGAAGUCAAGCAUGUCGGUUAGAUUGUCGACAGUGGCUACAAAGUGGGUGGUGGGUGGGCUUUGAGUUUCCUCAUCGUCCGUAUCCCACCCUCGCUGACCGUAGUCCGGCCAGGGCUCUCCUGAUAAAGAGAAAGACUUAAGAGAAUUCAGGGUGUCACCAAAAGGCGAAUGCUGAAAGAUGUCUGCGGCGGUGAACUCCAUUAUCGGCGCCCAAUCGGAUUCGAUUGGCAGGGGCGCGGGGGGUUCGGAGUCCGGGGAGGAGUCCGGAUCCUCGGAGUCACGGGUCGUGCAGAGUGCGGAGCUAGCGUUCGGCUCGAUCGCUUUCGGGAUCGCAGCCCCCGAGGUGACGUCCAACCGCUCAUCCUCGAUUGGCGCAAUAGGCUCCGAUUUAGGGGUCGGAACCGAUGCGUGUGCGGCCUCCAGGACACUGUCCGGGGGCAGAGCUAGAUCAUGCCCCUCGAGAUAGUGCGGCGCGCUUGGCCGUGGCUCGAGCCCGUCGAAGAUCAAGUCUCCGCGGAUGUCAGCCGUGUAGUUUAAGCUUCCAAACCUGACUUGAUGGCCAGGGGCGUAGCUUUUGAUCUGCUCCAAGUGGCCGAGCGAAUUGGCCCGCAGAGCGAAGCCGCCGAAGACGAAGAUCUGUCUGGGGAGAAAAGUCUCACCCUAGACCGCAUCGUUGUUGAUGAUCAAAGGAGCCAUCGGGCCUAAAGGCGACGACACAGAGGAACUCUCAAUGAAAGCACCAAUGUCGGUGUCAAAACCGGCGGAUCUCGGGUAGUGGGUCCUGAACUGUGCGUCUAGGCCGGAUGGUAACAGGAGGCAGGGAACACGAUGUUUUACCCAGGUUCGGGCCCUCUAGAUGGAGGUAAAACCCUACGUCCUGCUUGAUUAAUAUUGAUGAUAUGGGUAGUACAAGAGUAGAUCUACCACAAGAUCAAGGAGGCUAAACCCUAGAAGCUAGCCUAUGGUAUGAUUGUUGUAUAUGGAGUUGAUUGCCUACGAACUACAACCCUCCAGUUUAUAUAGACACUGGAUAGGGUUAGGGUAACAUAGAGUCGGUUACAAUGGUAGGAGAUCUUGAAUAUCCGCAUCGCCAAGCUUGCCUUCCACGCCAAGGAAAGUCCCAUCCGGACACGGGACGAAGUCUUCAAUCUUGUAUCUUCAUAGUCCAGGAGUCCGGCUGAAGGUAUAGUCCGGCUACCCGAACACCCCCUAAUCCAGGACUCCCUCAGGGGGGGGGGUUAGGGGUUUUUGGAGGGUUAAUUUAGGGGUUUCCUAUAUUGUGUUAGCUAGCUAAUAGAGAGAAGUGACCUCUCUUAUCUCCGUGCUUGGUCGACUCUAGCUACUAUACAAAUAGAGAGAACUCGACACGCUAGCUAGUAAGCAAAUGAAGGAACCAUUAAUUACACAAGAUCGCCAUGAACAUAUACAGAGAGGAGUGCAUCUCUCUUUCUCCGAGAGAUUUGUCGAACAACAAGUUUUCGUAUAUCUAUCUGACGCUACUAGCUACAUAUAUACAAUAUAAGAUCUCUUGCAAUCCCUAACAUCUCAUGUCUAUAUCAAUUUCCAUAUGGUAUUCUCCGGCUUUAUUGAUGACGUGGUCAAGAAAGAAUCCCGCCAAUUCCUCUUGAAUUGCUCGUAUGUGAUCUUGUGGUAGGAGUUCAUCCCGCAUCUGCCAGAUCUAAAUUGAAGAAUAGGGUCAAUACAUGUAUAUGAAUGAAACUAAACACAAAUGAUGGUAAUAAAAUAAAAUUGUGAAUAUUUUUGCUUACACACUUCAUAUUGUUUUCUAGAGUAGCCCCGCUUAUUAGAGGUCGUCGCGUUGUAGAUGAACUCGCAAACAUUGUAUCCACAAAAAUCAUUCCCGGAUUCCUGCCACAAACACUUUACAAGAAAUAGAGGUCAAUCAAACUAAUAAGCAAGCAUGCUAAAUGGUAUUGAUGAAAGUAGCUAGAAUCAAUGGAAGAUGCGCGGAACUAGGUAGUAGUACUUACUUUCAGGUGUGUAAAUCGCAGCUCGCUCGGCAGCCCGGAGAAAUUACGGGUGAACUCUUUCCAAACCCUGCCAGACAAUGAAAAUAAUUACUUGAUAUCAGGAAAUGAACAAAGUUGCCGAUAUGGUGCGAUAAUGAUCGAUUGAACUUACCUCUAGAGCAUUUGAGUCAUGUCCACACAGUCCUCAGGAUCUUUUCGUCUCGAGUCUAAGACAGUUACUACUCCCUGCUCAAGCUUAAUCUCUAGGAGAAUAUAGUGGAAGCUGUGCACGCAUGCAUAACUCAUCAGUUACAUUACUAUAACCUUGAUUAAUAAGGGAAACCGAAUAUGCACAAGACAGCAACACUCACUUGAAGUUGUAAGGAAAGAGUAUUUUAUCUUUGCUUUGAUUUUUGAGCAACGAUUGUAGCAAGUUGUCCUAGGUUUCUAUGACAUUUUUUAACCGUCCAUUCAUGUAUGAUAUUUGGGUUAAUGAACCCAAUGUCAUAGAUUUGUGCUUUUCUGCAUUCGUGUUGGGGAAAGCAGUAUUUCAAAAUAAAUCCUACGAUCACGCAAGAUCUAUCUAGGAGAUGCAUAGCAACGAGAGGGGAGAGUGUGUCCACGUACCCUCGUGGACCGAAAGUGGAAGCGUUUAGUAACGCGGUUGAUGUAGUCGAACAUCUUCACGAUCCAACCGAUCCAAGUACUGAACGUACGGCACCUCCGUGUUCAGCACAUGUUUAGCACGAUGACGUCCCUCGAGCUCUUGAUCCAGUUGAGGAUGAGGGAGAGUUCCGUCAGCACGACGUCGUGGUGACGGUGCUGAUGAUGUGAUCCGCACAGGGCUUCGCCUAAGCACUAUGACAAUAUGACAGAGGUGGUAAACUGUGGAGGGGGGGCAUCGCACACGGCUAAGACAAUUGAUCUUGUGUGUUCUAGGGUGCCCCUGCCCCUGUAUAUGAAGGAGGAGAGGGGGAGGCCGUCUGGCCCCUAUAGGGCGCGCCAAGAGAGAGGAGUCCUACUAGGACUUCAACUCCAAGUAGGAUUCCACUUGGUGGAAGGGGAAAGAAGGAAGGGAGAGGGAAAGGGAAAGGGGGGCGCUGAUGUCUACUACGCAACCUUCUUCUUGUAGACGUUGUUGGGCCUCCAACUGCAGGGGUUUGUAGGACAGUAGCAAAUUUCCCUCAAGUGGAUGACCUAAGGUUUAUCAAUCCGUGGGAGACGUAGGAUGAAGAUGUUCUCUCUCAAACAACCCUGCAACCAAAUAACAAAGAGUCUCUUGUGUCCCCAACAUACCCAAUACAAUGGUAAAUUGUAUAGGUGCACUAGUUCGGCGAAGAGAUGGUGAUACAAGUGCAAUAUGGAUAGUAGAUAUAGGUUUUUGUAAUCUGAAAAUAUAAAAACAGCAAGGUAACUAAUGAUAAAAGUAAGCACAAAUGGUAUUGCAAUGUUAGGAAACAAGGCCUAGGGUUCAUACUUUCACAAGUGCAAGUUCUCUCAACAAUAAUAACAUAAUUGGAUAAUAUAGCUAUCCCUCAACAUGCAACAAAGAGUCACUCCAAAGUCACUAAUAGCGGAGGACAAACGAAGAGAUUAUUGUAGGGUACAAAACCACCUCAAAGUUAUCAUUUCUAAUCGAUCUAUUCAAGAGUCCGUAGUAAAAUAACACAAAGCUAUUCUUUCCGUUGAAUCUAUCCUAGAGUUCGUACUAGAAUAACACCUUAAGACACAAAUCAACCAAAACCCUAAUGUCACCUAGAUACUCCAAUGUCACCUCAAGUAUCCGUGGGCAUGACUAUACGAUAUGCAUCACACAAUCUCAGUUUCAUCUAUUCAACCAACACAAAGAACUUCAAAGAGUGCCCCAAAGUUUCUGCCGGAGAGUCAAGAUGAAAACGUGUGCCAACCCCUAUGCAUAAGUUCACGAGGUCACGAAACUCGCAAGUUGAUCACGAAAACAUACAUCAAAUGGAUCAUGUGAUAUCCCAUUGCCACCACAGAUAAGCACAUGCAAGACAUACAUCAAGUGUUCUCAAAUCCUUAAAGACUCAAUCCGAUAAGAUAACUUCAAAGGGAAAACUCAAUCCAUCACAAGAAACUAGAGGGGGAGAAACAUCAUAAGAUCCAACUAUAAUAACAAAGCUCGCAAUACAUCAAAAUCGUUCUGAAUCAAGAAAACGAGAGAGAGAGAGAGAGAGAGAGAAAGAGAUCAAACACAUAACUACUGGUACAUACCCUCAUCCCUGAGGGUGAACUACUCCCUCCUCGUCAUGGAGAGCGCCGGGAUGAUGAAGAUGGCCACCAGAGAGGGAUCCCCGCUCCGGCAGGGUGCCAGAAUGGGUCUAGAUUGCUUUUCGAUGGCUACAGAGGCUUGCGGCGGCGGAACUCCCGAUCUAGGUUUCUUUCUGGAAGUUUUGGGUUAUAUGAGAGGUGUUGGAGUCGGGAACAAGUCAGGGGGGUCCCCGAGGCGGCCAUGAGGUAGGGGCGCGCCUAGGGGGUAGGGCGCACCCCCACCCUCCUGGUGGCCUCAGGACUCUUCUGGCCCAUCUCCGGUACUCCGUGGGUUUCUUCUGGUCCAAAAAUGAUCUCCAUCAAAUUUCAGGUCAAUUGGACUCCGUUUGGUUUUCCUUUUCCGCGAUACUCAAAAACAAGGAAAAAACAGAAACUGGCACUGGGCUCUAGGUUAAUAGGUUAGUCCCAAAAAUCAUAUAAAAUAGGAUAUAAAACAUCAUAGAUGGAUAAUAUAAUAGCAUGGAACAUUCAAAAAUUAUAGAUACAUUGGAGACGUAUCAAGCAUGCCCAAGCUUAAUUCUUGCUCAUCCUCGAGUAGGUAAAUGAUAAAAUCAGAAUUUUUGAUGUGGAAUGCUACCUAACAUAUUUAUCUAUGUAAUCCUCUUUAUUAUGGCAAGAAUAUUCAGAUCCGUAAGAUUCAAGACAAAAGUUUAAUAUUGACAUAAAGAUAAUAAUAAUUCAAGCAUACUAACUAAGCAGUCAUGUCUUCUCAAAAUAACAUGGCCAAAGAAAGCUUAUCCCUACAAAAUCAUAUAGUUUGGCUAUGCUUCAUUUUUUCACACAAAAAUGCUCCCAUCAUGCACAACCCCGAUGACAAGCCAAGCAAUUGUUUCAUACUUUAGUAAUCUCAAACUUUUUUCAACUUUCACGCAAUACAUGAGCGUGAGCCAUGGACAUAGCACUAUGGGUGGAAUAGAAUAUAAUGAUGGGGGUUGUGUGUAAAAGACAAAAAAAGAAAGUCUCACAUUGAUGCGGCUAAUCAACGGGCUAUGGAGAUGCCCAUCAAUUGAUGUCAAUGCGAGGAGUAGGGAUUGCCAUGCAACGGAUGCACUAGAGUUAAAUGUAUGAAAGAUCAACAAAAAGAAACUAAGUGGGUGUGCAUCCAACUUGCUUGCUCAUGAAGACCUAGGGCAUUUCAGGAAGCCCAUUGUUGGAAUAUACAAGCCAAGUUCUAUAAUGGAAAAUUUCCACUUAGUAUAUGAAAGUGACAACAUAAGAGACUCUCUAUCAUGAAGAUCAUGGUGCUACUUUGAAGCACAAGUGUGGAAAAAAAGGAUAGUAGCAUUCUCCCCUUUUAUUUCUUUUUUGUAUUUGACCUUUCUUUUUUUCCUUUUUUGGCCUUUUUUUCUUUUUUUGGGACAAUGUUCUAUUAAUGAUGAUCAUCAAACUUCUAUUUAUUUACAACUAAAAUAUUACAACUCGAUACUAGAACAAAGUAUGACUCUAUAUGAAUGCCUCCGGCGGUGUACCGGGAUGGGAAAUGAAUCAAGUGUGACAUGUAUGACAAAUUAUGCAUGGUGGCUUUGCCACAAAUACGAUGUCAACUACAUGAUCAUUCAAGGCAGUAUUACAAUUAUGAAGCAUGUCAUAAUAAACGGAAUGGUCGAAAGUUGCAUGGCCAUAUAUCUCGGAAUGGCUAUGGAAAUUCUAUAAUAGGUAGGUAUGGUGGAUGUUUUGAGGAAGAUACAAGGAGGUUUAUGUGUGACAGAGCGUAUCAUAUCACGGGGUUUGGAUCCACCAGUGAAGUUUGCACCAACUCUCGAGGUGAGAAAGGGCAAUGCAUGGUACCAAAGAGGCUAGCAAUGAUGGAAGAGUGAGAGUGUGUAUAAUCCAUGGACUCAACAUUAGUCAUAAAGAAAUCAUAUACUUAUUGCAAAAAUCUACAAGUCAUCAAAAACCAAGCAUUACGGGCAUGCUCCUAGGGAGAUAGAUUGGUAGGAAAAGACCAUCGUUCGUCCCCGACCGCCACUCAUAAGGAAGACAAUCAAAGAAACACCUCAUGCUUCAAAUUUGUCACACAAAGGUUACCAUACAUGCAUGCUACGGGACUUACAAACCUCAACACAAGUAUUUCUCAAUUUCACAACUACUUAACUAGCAUGACUCUAAUAUCACCAUCCUCAUGCCUCAAAACAAUCAUCAAGUAUCAAACUUCUCAUAGUAUUCAAUGCACUCUAUAUGAAAGUUUUUAUUAUAUCCCUCUUGGAUGCCCAUCAUAUUAGGACUCGUUUCAUAACCAAAGCAAAUUACCAUGCUGUUUAGGACUCUCAAAGUAAUAUAAGUGAAGCAUGACAGUACAUCUAUUUCUUUAAGAUAAAACCACCGCCGUUCUCUAAAAGAUAUAAGUGAAGCACUAGAGCAAACGACAAACUACUCCUAAAUAUAUAAGUGAAGAUUAACGAGUAGUUGAAUAAUUAUGAAACUAUGUGAAGACUCUCUAACAUUUAAGAAUUUCAUAUCUUGGUAUUUUAUUCAAACAGCAAGAAAAACAAAAUAAAAUAAAAUAACGCUCCAAGCAAAACACAUAUCAUGUGGUGAAUAAAAAUAUAGCUCCAAGUAAAGUUACCAAUGAACGAAGACGAAAGAGGGGAUGCCUUCCAGGGCAUCCCCAAGCUUAGGCUCUUGGUUGUCCUUGAAUAUUAACUUGGGGUGCCAUGGGCAUCCCCAAUCUUAGGCUCUUUCCACUCCUUAUUCCAUAGUCCAUCGAAUCUUUACCCAAAACUUGAAAACUUCACAACACAAAACUUAACAGAAAACUCGUAAGCUCCGUUAGUACAAGAAAAUAAAUCACCACUUAGGUACUGUUAUGAACUCAUUCUAAAUUCAUAUUGUUGUAAUAUCUACUGUAUUCCAACUUCUCUAUCGGUCAUACCCUCCGAUACUACUCACAGAUUCAUCAAAAUAAGCAAACAACACAAAGAAAACAGAAUCUGUCAAAGACAGAACAAUCUGUAGCAAUCUGGAGGUUUCGAAUAUUUCUGUCACUCCACAAAUUCUGAAAUAAAUUGGUGUACCUGAGGAAUUUGUCUAUUAAUCAUCUUCAAAAAUAAUCAACCUAACCGCACUCUCCAUUAAAAAAUGGCAACUAAUCUCGUGAGCGCAAAAGUUUCUGUUUUUUACAGCAAGAUCGCAAAGACUUCACCCAAGUCUUACCAAAGGUUCUACUUGGCACAAACACUAAUUAAAACAUAAAACCACAUCUAAAUAGAGUCUAGAUGAAUUAUUUAUUACUAAAGAGGAACAAAAAUCAAGGAACAAAAAUAAAAAUUGGGUUGCCUCCCAACAAGUGCUAACGUUUAACGCCCUAGCUAGGCAUGGUGAUUUCAAUGAUGCUCACAUAAAAGAUAAGAAUUGAAACAUAAAGAGAGCAUCAUGAAGAAUAUGACUAGCACAUUUAAGUCUAACCCACUUCCUAUGCAUAGGGACUUUGUGAGCAAUCAACUUAUGGGAACAAUAAUCAACUAGCAUAGGAAGGCAAAACAAGCAUAGCUUCAAGAUUUUCAACAUGUAGAGAGGAAACUUGAUAUUAUUGCAAUUCCUACAAGCAUAUAUUCCUCCAUCAUAAUAAUUUUCAUUAGCAUCAUGAAUGAAUUCAACAAUAUAACUAUCACAUAAAGCAUUCUUUUCAUGAGCCAUAAGCAUUGAUGUUUUGUUACUCUCCACACAAGCAAAAUUCUUCUCAUUCGGAAUAGUGGGAGCAUCAUAAGAAACUCGAAUACUAUAAAUUGGUUCCACAUUAAAGGAGUAAUGUUCAGAAAAAGGGUAAUCAUAAUCAUGACAAGUUUUAUAAAUAUAAUCAUCUCUUCUUUUUAUAGCAUAAGUAUCAUCACAAUAAUCAUCAUAAGUAGAAACUUUGUUCUCAUCAUAAUCAAUUGAAACCUCUUCCAAGAUAGUGGAAUCAUUACUAAAUAAAGUCAUGACCUCUCCAAAUCAACUUUCAUAAUUGUCACAAUAAGAUUCAACAUCCUCCAAAAUAGUGGGAUCAUUACUUCCUAAAGUUGAAACUCUUCCAAACCCACUUUCAUCAAUAUAAUCAUCAUAAAUAGGAGGCAUGCUAUCAUCAUAAUAAAUUUGCAUAUCAAAACUUGGGAGGUUAAAAAUAUCAUCUUCAUAAAACAUAUCAUCUCCAAUCUUGGGACAAACAUUAAUUGCAGCAAAUAAAUUCUCAAACAUGUCAUUUUCAUCAAAUAUAGCAUCCCCAAGCUUGGGCCUUUUCAUAUCAUAAGCAUAAUCACUCUCAUCAUUAAUAGUAUGGAUAGCACCAAUAUUAUAUCAACUAAUAUCAUCACAAUGAGUAGUAGGAGAAACAUCAUUUGAGAGGGAUGCCUUUUUACCUUUGCUUCUCCGUCUUUUCUUUUUAUUCUCUACAUCAUGUGUGGGUUUAAUCCUCUUUUCGGAGAUCCUUAUUAAUGAGAUUGGUUGAAUAGAAGGCUCCUCCUCGUUACCUGAUUCAUCAUAAGAAAUAAUAGGAGGAUAUUGGGAAGUCUCUUCCCUUUCAUUAGUAUUAUCUUCAUCUUCUAAUUGUUUUCUUGACUUUAUGUAAUUGUUAAUAUAAGGAUUUUCAAUGCAAUUCACCGCACAAGACAUAUAAAUUUCCUCUGGAUAAAAUCAAGAAAUUUAUCAAGGGAAAAUUCUGGAAUAUCCUUAGUUAUAUGUUUCAUUUCUUCAUAACCCAGAAGCAAACUAAGUUCAUUAUGAUGCGCAAGUGAAAUCAAGUCAUCAGAAUUUUUGGACACGAUUCGAUCAUGAAACAAUUUGCAUUGGAUAUUUAAAUGACCACAUUCAUUGCAAAGUUCACAAGGGUGGCUAGGAAAAUUUAAAUUUUCAGCACAAACACCUAGCCUUUCUUGCAACCAUUUAGUUUCUAAAUACUUAUGCCUCUUGCACAAUCUAUCUUCCCUAUUUGGUGUGUACUUGCAAUCUCUAUGCACUCCACAAAAAUUGACAUGCUUAUAUGAUAUAUUUUCAUCAUGACUAGUGCAACCAUCAUUAGUACUAUGGAUAUUCAAGGAGUUCAUACUAACAACAUUGCAAUUGUGCUUAUCAUUCAAAGAUUUAGUGCCAAACAUUUUAAUGCAUUCUUCUUCUAGCAUUUUGGCACAAUUAUCAGAAUCCUUAUUUUCAUGAAAGAUACUAAAAAGAUGAAGCAUAUGAGGUACCCUCAAUUCCAUUUUUUUGUAAUUUUCUUUUAUAGACUAAACUAGUGAUAAAACAAGAAACUAAAAGAUUCGAUUGCAAGAUCUAAAGAUAUACCUUCAAGCGCUAACCUCCCCGGCAAUGGCGCCAGAAAAGAGCUUGAUGUCUACUACGCAACCUUCUUCUUGUAGACGUUGUUGGGCCUCCAAGUGCAAAGGUUUGUAGGACAGUAGCAAAUUUCCCUCAAGUGAAUGACCUAAGGUUUAUCAAUCCGUGGGAGGCGUAGGAUGAAGAUGGUCACUGCCAAACAACCCUGCAACCUAAUAGCAAAGAGUCGGUUGUGUCCCCAACACACCCAAUACAAUGGUAAAUUGUAUAGGUGCACUAGUUCGGCGAAGAGAUGGUGAUACAAGUGUAAUAUGGAUAGUAGAUAUAGGUUUUUGUAAUCUGAAAAUAUAAAAACAGCAAGGUAACUAAUGAUAAAGGUGAGCACAAACGGUAUUGCAAUGCUAGGAAACAAGGCCUAGGGUUCAUACUUUCACUAGUGCAAGUUCUCUCAACAACAAUAACAUAAUUGGAUCAUAUAACUAUCCCUCAACAUGCAACAAAGAGUCACUCCAAAGUCACUAAUAACGGAGAAAAAACAAAGAGAUUAUUGUAGGGUACGAAACCACCUCAAAGUUAUUCUUUCUGAUCGAUCUAUUCAAGAAUACGUAGUAAAAUAACACGAAGCUAUUCUUUCCGUUGAAUCUAUCCUAGAGUCUGUACUAGAAUAACACCUUAAGACACAAAUCAACCAAAACCCUAAUGUCACCUAGAUACUCCAAUGUCACCUCAAGUAUCUGUGGGUAUGAUUAUACGAUAUGCAUCACACAAUCUUAGAUUCAUCUAUUCAACCAACACAAAGAACUUCAAAGAGUGCCCUAAAGUUUCUGCCAGAGAGUCAAGACGAAAACGUGUGCCAACCCCUAUGCAUAAGUUCACGAGGUCACGGAACUCGCAAGUUGAUCACCAAAACAUGCAUCAAGUGGAUCACGUGAUAUCCCAUUGUCACCACAGAUAAGCACAUGCAAGACAUACAUCAAGUGUUCUCAAAUCCUUAAAGACUCAAUCCGAUAAGAUAACUUCAAAGGGAAAACUCAAUCCAUCACAAGAAAGUAGAGGGGGAGAAACAUCAUAAGGUCCAACUAUAAUAGCAAAGCUCGCGAUACAUCAAGAUCGUUCCGAAUCAAGAACACGAGAGAGAGAGUCAAACACAUAGCUACUGGUACAUACCCUCAGCCCCGAGGGUGAACUACUCCCUCCUCGUCAUGGAGAGCGCUGGGAUGAUGAAGAUGGCCACUGGAGAGGGACCCCCCCUCCGGCAGGGUACCAGAACGGGUCUAGAUUGAUUUUCGGUGGCUACAGAGGGUUGCGGUGGCGGAACUCCUGAUCUAGGUUUUUUUCUGGAAGUUUGGGGUUAUAUAAGAGGUGUUGGGGUCGGGAACAAGUCCGGGGGGUCCCCAAGGCGGCCAUGAGGUAGGGGGCCGCCCAGGGGGGUAGGGCGCGCCACCACCCUCUUGGUGGCCUCGGGACACUUCUGGCCCAUCUCCGGUACUCCGUGGGCUUCUUCUGGUCCAAAAAUGAUCUCCGUGAAAUUUCAGGUCAAUUGGACUCCGUUUGGUUUUCCUUUUCUGAGAUACUCGAAAACAAGGAAAAACAGAAACUGGCAUUGGGCUCUAGGUUAAUAGGUUAGUCCAAAAAAUCAUAUAAAAUAGCAUAUAAAUGCAUAUAAAACAUCCUAGAUGGAUAAUAUAGUAGCAUGGAACAAUCAAAAAUUAUAGAUAUGUUGGAGACUUAUCAGGCGCCGCCCCCUUCCCUUAGUCCAAUUCAAACUGCAAGGGGGGCGGCCAGCCCCUUGUGGCCCUCCUCUCUCUCCACUAAGGCCUGAUAACGCACAAGUAUAGGGGAUCAAUUGUAGCCUCUUUCGAUAAGUAAGAGUGUCGGACCCAACGAGGAGCUAAAGGUAGAACAAAUAUUCCCUCAAGUUCUAUUGACCACCGAUACAACUCUAUGCACGCUUGACGUUCGCUUUACCUAGAACAAGUAUGAAACUAGAAGUACUUUGUAGGUGUUUUUGGGUAAGCUUGCAAGAAAGUAAAGAGCACAUAAAUAAAAGCUAGGGGCUGUUUAGAUAAAGUGACAACUAAAUUAGUUUUAGUAAAGAGCUUUUGUCAACAAGAAGGUUAUUUGUCCCUAGGCAAUCGAUAACUAGACCGGUAAUCAUUAUUGCAAUUUUAUUUGAGGGAGAGGCAUAAGCUAACAUACUUUCUCUACUUGGAUCAUAUGCACUUAUGAUUGGAACUCUAGCAAGCAUCCGCAACUACUAAAGAUUCAUUAAGAUAAACCCAACCAUAGCAUUAAAGUAUCAAGUCCCCUUUAUUCCAUACGCAAACAACAUACUUACUCGGGUCUGUGCUUCUGUCACUCACGCCACCCACCAUAAGCAAAUCAUGAACAUAUUGCAAACCCUAUAGCGGGAAUCCCUCAUGCUUGCGCGACACGGAGAGCACCAUAGGACAGCACCAAUAAUAAAACAUACAACUCAAACCAAUCACGAUCAUCAAAUAGCCAUUAGGACAAAACAGAUCUACUCAAACAUCAUAGGAUAGCCAUAAAUCAUUGGGAAAUAAUAUAUAGCAUUGAGCACCAUGUUUAAGUAGAGAUUACAGCGGGUAAGAGAGAGGUUACACCGCUGCAUAGAGGGGGGAAGAGUUGGUGAUGAUGGCGGUGAAGUUGUUGGUGAAGAUGGCGGUGAUGGUGAUGGCCCCGGCAGUGCUCCGACGCCACCGGAAGCAAGGGGGAGAGGGCCCCCCUUAUUCUUCUUCCUUGACCUCCUCCCUAGAUGGGAGAAGGGUUUCCCCUUUGGUCCUUGGCUCCCAUGGCGUGGGAGGGGCGAGAGCCCCUCCGAGAUUGGAUCUAUCUCUCUGUUUCUCUUCGGUUCUGCGUUCUCUUCUGGCUCUGUUUCACCGUUUCGUAUAUAUAUGGAGAUCCGUAACUCCGAUUGGCCUGAAACCUUCGCCGUGAUUUUUUCUGAAUAUUAGCUUUCUUGUGGCAAAAUAAGAGCGUCAACCACCUUACGGUGGGCUCACGAGGGUAGGGGGCGCGCCCCCUGCCUCGUGACCACCUCGGGCACUGAUUCGCAUUGAUUUUCCUUCCAAAUUUUCCAUAUUUUCCAAAAAUAAGCUCCAUCCAUUUUUAUCCCGUUUGGACUCUGUUUGAUAUGGAUAUUCUGCGAAACCAAAAACAUGCAACAGACAGGAACUGGCACUAGGCACUGGAUCAAUAUGUUAGUCCCAAAAAUAGUAUAAAAAGUUGCCAAAAAGUAUAUGGAAGUUGAAUAAUAUUGGCAUGGAACAAUCAAAAAUUAUAGAUACGACGGAGACGUAUCAAGGCCCAUGAAGGCCCAUUAGUUCCCCCGGGGGGUUCUGAUAACCCUCCAGCACUCGGAUAGUUAUCCGGUACCUCUCGGCACUCAUCUGGUGUCCGAAUAACAUCGUCCAAUAUAUCAUUCUUUGUGUCUCGACCAUUUCGAGACUCCUCAUCAUGUCCGUGAUCUUAUACAACACUCCGAACAAACUUCGGUUAUCAAAAACACAUAACUCAUAAUACAAAUCAUCAUCGAACGUUAAGUGUGCGGACCCUACAGGUUCGAGAACUAUGUAGACAAGACCGAGACAAAUCUCCGGUCAAUAAACAAUAGCAGAACCUGGAUGAUCAUAUUGGUUCCUACAUAUUAUAUGAAGUUCUUUAUCAGUCAAACUGCAUAACAACAUACGUCAUUCCCUUUGUCAUCGGUAUGUUACUUGCCCGUGAUUCGAUCGUCGGUAUCAUCAUACCUAGUUCAAUCUCAUUACCGGCAAGUCUCUUUACUCGUUCCUUAAUGCAUCAUCCCGUAACUAGCUCAUUUAUCACAUUGCUUUCAAGGCUCAUAGUGAUGUGCAUUAUCGAGAGGGCCAGAGAUACCUCUCCGAUACACGGAGUGAAAAAUCCUAAUCUCGAUCUAUGCCAACUCAACAAACACCAUUGGAGACACCUGUAGAGCAUCUUUAUGAUCACCCAGUUACGUUGUGACGUUUGAUAGCACUCAAGGUGUUCCUACGGUAUUCGGGAGUUGCAUAAUCUCAUAGUCAGAGGAACAUGUAUAAGUCAUGAAGAAAGCAAUAGCACUAAAACUAAAUGAUCAUUAUGCUAAGCUAACGGAUGGGUCUUGUUCAUCACAUCAUUCUCUAAUGAUGUGAUCCCAUUCAUCAAAUGACAACACAUGUCAAUGGUCAGGAAACUUAACCAUCUUUGAUUAACGAGCUAGUCAAGUAGAGGCAUACUAGGGACACUCUGUUUGUCUAUGUAUUCACACAUGUACUCAGUUUCCGGUUAAUACAAUUCUAGCAUGAAAAAUAAACAUUUAUCAUGAUAUAAGGAAAUAUAAAUAACAACUUUAUUAUUGCCGCUGGGGCAUAUUUCCUUCAGUCUCCCACUUGCACUAGAGUCAAUAAUCUAGAUUACAUAGUAAUGAUUCUAACACCCAUGGAGUCUUGGUGCUGAUCAUGUUUUGCUCGUGAGAGAGGGUUAGUCAACGGGUCUGCAACAUUCAGAUCCGUAUGUAUCUUGCAAAUCUCAUAGUCUCCCUCCUUGACUUGAUCGCGGAUGGAAUUGAAGCAUCUCUUGAUGUGUUUGGUUCUCUUGUGAAAUCUGGAUUCCUUUGCUAAGGCAAUUGCUCCAGUAUUGUCACAAAAUAUUUUCAUUGGACCCGAUGCACUAGGUAUUACACUUAUAUCGGAUAUGAACUCCUUCAUCCAGACUCCUUCCUUUGCAACUUCCAAAGCAGCUAUAUACUCCACUUCACACGUAGAUCCUGCCACAACGCUCUGCUUGGAACUGCACCAACUAACAGCUCCACCAUUCAAUAUAAAUACGUAUCCGGUUUGUGACUUAGAGUCAUCUGGAUCAUUGUCAAAGCUUGCAUCGACGUAACCAUUUACGACGAGCUCUUUGUCACCUCCAUAAACGAGAAACAUAUCCUGAAGGAAAUAUGCCCUAGAGGCAAUAAUAAAGUUAUUAUUUAUUUCCUUAUAUCAUGAUAAAUGUUUAUUAUUCAUGCUAUAAUUGUGUUAACCGGAAACAUAAUACAUGUGUGAAUACAUAGACAAACAGAGUGUCACUAGUAUGCCUCUACUUGACUAGCUCGUUGAUCAAAGAUGGUUAUGUUUCCUAACCAUAGACAUGAGUUGUCAUUUGAUUAACGGGAUCACAUCAUUAGGAGAAUGAUGUGAUUGACUUGACCCAUUCCAUUAGCAUAGCACUUGAUCGUUUAGUUUGUUGCUAUUGCUUUCUUCAUGACUUAUACAUGUUCCUAUGACUAUGAGAUUAUGCAACUCCCGUUUACCGAAGGAACACUUUGUGUGCCACCAAACGUCACAACAUAACUGGGUGAUUAUAAAGGUGCUCUACAGGUGUCUCCGAAGGUACUUGUUGGGUUGGCGUAUUUUGAGAUUAGGAUUUGUCACUCUGAUUGUCGGAGAGGUAUCUCUGGGCCCUCUCCGUAAUGCACAUCACUUAAGCCUUGCAAGCCUUGCAACUAAUGAGUUAGUUGCAGGAUGAUGUAUUACGGAACGAGUAAAGAGACUUGAUGGUAACGAGAUUGAACUAGGUAUUGAGAUACCGACGUUCGAAUCUCGGGAAAGUAACAUACCGGUGACAAAGGGAACAACGUAUGUUGUUAUGCGGUCUGACCGAUAAAGAUAUUUGUAGAAUAUGUGGGAGCCAAUAUGAGCAUCCAGGUUCCGCUAUUGGUUAUUGACCGGAGAUGUGUCUCGGUCAUGUCUACAUUGUUCUCAAACCCGUAGGGUCCGCACGCUUAAGGUUUCGAUGACAGUUAUAUUACUCCCUCCGUUCCUUGAUAUAAGGUGUAUAGAUUUUUUAGAAAAAGUUCGAAAUAUAAGGUGUAUUGCGUUGCACCACUCGUUUGAAUAAUUUUUUUAGGGAUUUGAUUACGUUUACAUAUAUUAGGCAAACUCCUCUAUUUUCUCAUGUCAAUUAGUUAGGUGUAAUCUCGCCCAAAACUUGUGAAAUUUUCACUCCACGUGUGUUCUUUAAUUUUCGUGCCAAAAACUAUACACCUUAUAUUUAGGAAUGGAGGGAGUAUGAGUUUAUGAGUUUUGAUGUACUGAAGGAGUUCGGAGUCCCGGAUGAGAUCGGGGACAUGACGAGGAGUCUCGAAAUGGUCGAGACGUAAAGAUCGAUAUAUUGGACGGCUAUAUUUGGACACCAGAAGUGUUUCGGGUGAUUUCGGAGAAAAUCGGAGUGCCGGAAGGGUUACCGGAACCCCCCCGGGGAAGUAUUGGGCCUUAGUGGGCCUGAGGGGAGAGAGAGGGUGGCAGCCCAGGAGGUGGUGCGCCCCCUCCCAUGGGGAGUCCGAAUUGGACUAGGGGAGGGGGCGCGGCCCCUCUUUCCCCCUCUCUCUCCCUCUCUUUCCUCCCCCCUUCUCUCUUCCUAGUUGGACUAGGAAAGGGGAGUCCUACUCCUACUAAGAGGAGGACUCCCCCCUCCUUGGCGCGCCCCAAGGGCCGGCCAGCCUCUCCCCCUUGCUCCUUUAUAUACAGGGGCAGGGGGGCACCUCUAGAGACACAAGUUGAUCUUCGUGAUCGUUCUCUUAGCCGUGUGCGGUGCCCCCCUCCACCAUAAUCCUCGAUAAUAUUGUAGCGGUGCUUAGGCGAAGCCCUGUGACGGUAGAACAUCAAGAUCGUCACUACGUCGUCGUGCUGACGGAACUCUUCCCCGACACUUUGCUAGAUCGGAGUCCGGGGAUCGUCAUCGAGCUGAACGUGUGCUAGAACUCGGAGGUGUCGUAGUUUCGGUGCUUGAUCGGUCAGGCCGUGAAGACGUACGACUACAUCAACCGCGUUGUGCUAACGCUUCCGCUUUUGGUCUACGAGGGUACGUGGACAACACUCUUCCCUCUCGUUGCUAUGCACCACCAUGAUCUUGCGUGUGCGUAGGAAUUUUUUUGAAAUUACUACGUUCCCCAACAGUGGCAUCCGAGCCUAGGUUUUAUGCGUUGAUGUUGUGCACGAGUAGAACACAAGUGAGUUGUGGGCGAUAUAAGUCAUACUGCUUACCAGCAUGUCAUACUUUGGUUCGGCGGUAUUGUUGGAUGAAGCGGCCCGGACAGACAUUACGCGUACGCUUACGCGAGACUGGUUCUGCCGACGUGCUUUGCACACAGGUGGCUGGCGGGUGUCAGUUUCUCCAACUUUAGUUGAACCAAGUGUGGCUACGCCCGGUCCUUGCGAAGGUUAAAACAUCACCAACUUGACAAACUAUCGUUGUGGUUUUGAUGCGUAGGUAAGAACGGUUCUUGCUAAAUCCCGUAGCAGCCACGUAAAACUUGCAACAACAAAGUAGAGGACGUCUAACUUGUUUUUGCGGGGCAUGUUGUGAUGUGAUAUGGUCAAGACAUGAUGCUAAAUUUUAUUGUAUGAGAUGAUCAUGUUUUGUAACCGAGUUAUCGGCAACUGGCAGGAGCCAUAUGGUUGUCACUUUAUUGUAUGCAAUGCAAUCGCGCUGUAAUGCUUUACUUUAUCACUAAGCGGUAGCGAUAAUCGUGGAAGCAUAAGAUUGGCGAGACGACAAUGAUGCUAUGAUGGAGAUCAAGGUGUCACGCCGGUGACGAUGGUGAUCAUGACGGUACUUCGGAGAUGGAGAUCACAAGUACAAGAUGAUGGGCCAUAUCAUAUCACUUAUAUUGAUUGCAUGUGAUGUUUAUCUUUUAUGCAUCUUAUCUUGCUUUGAUUGACAGUAGCAUUAUAAGAUGAUCCCUCACUAAAUUAUCAAAGUAUAAGUGUUCUCCUAGAGUAUGCACCGUUGCGAAAGUUCUUCGUGCUGAGACACCACGUGAUGAUCGGGUGUGAUAGGCUCUACGUUCAAAUACAACGGGUGCAAAAUAGUUGCACACGCGGAAUACUCAGGUUAAACUUGACGAGCCUAGCAUAUAACAUAUAUGGCCUCGGAACACGGAGACCGAAAGGUCGAACGUGAAUCAUAUAGUAGAUAUGAUCAACAUAGUGAUGUUCACCAUUGAAACUACUCCAUCUCACGUGAUGAUCGGACAUGGUUUAGUUGAUAUGGAUCACGUGAUCACUUAGAGGGGCAAGGGGGAGAGGGCCCCCCUUAUUCUUCUUCCUUGACCUCCUCCCUAGAUGGGAGAAGGGUUUCCCCUCUGGUCCUUGGCUCCCAUGGCGUGGGAGGGGCGAGAGCCCCUCCGAGAUUGGAUCUAUCUCUCUGUUUCUCUCUGGUUCUGUGUUCUCUUCUGGCUCUGUUUCACCGUUUCGUAUAUAUAUGGAGAUCCGUAACUCCGAUUGGCCUGAAACCUUCGCCGUGAUUUUUUCCAAAUAUUAGCUUUCUUGUGGCAAAAUAAGAGUGUCAACCGCCUUACGGUGGGCUCACGAGGGUAGGGGGCGCGCCCCUGCCUCGUGACCACCUCGGGCACUGGUUCGCAUUGAUUUUCCUUCCAAAUUUUCCAUAUUUUCCAAAAAUAAGCUCCAUCCAUUUUUAUCCCGUUUGGACUCUGUUUGAUAUGGAUAUUCUACGAAACCAAAAACAUGCAACAGACAGGAACUGGCACUGGGCACUGGAUCAAUAUGUUAGUCCCAAAAAUAGUAUAAAAAGUUGCCAAAAAGUAUAUGGAAGUUGAAUAAUAUUGGCAUGGAACAAUCAAAAAUUAUAGAUACGACGGAGACGUAUCAAGGCCCAUGAAGGCCCAUUAGUUCCCCCGGGGGGUUCUGAUAACCCUCCAGCACUCCGAUAGUUAUCCGGUACCUCUCGGCACUCAUCUGGUGUCCGAAUAACAUCGUCCAAUAUAUCAUUCUUUAUGUCUCGACCAUUUGGAGACUCCUCAUCAUGUCCGUGAUCUUAUACAGCACUCCGAACAAACUUCGGUUAUCAAAAACACAUAACUCAUAAUACAAAUCGUCAUCGAACGUUAAGCGUGCGGACCCUACAGGUUCGAGAACUAUGUAGACAAGACCGAGACAAAUCUCCAGUCAAUAAACAAUAGCAGAACCUGGAUGAUCAUAUUGGUUCCUACAUAUUAUAUGAAGUUCUUUAUCAGUCAAACUGCAUAACAACAUACAUCAUUCCCUUUGUCAUCGGUAUGUUACUUGCCCGAGAUUCGAUCGUCGGUAUCAUCAUACCUAGUUCAAUCUCAUUACCGGCAAGUCUCUUUACUCGUUCCUUAAUGCAUCAUCCCGUAACUAGCUCAUUUAUCACAUUGCUUUCAAGGCUCAUAGUGAUGUGCAUUAUCGAGAGGGCCCAGAGAUACCUCUCCGAUACACGGAGUGAAAAAUCCUAAUCUCGAUCUAUGCCAACUCAACAAACACCAUUGGAGACACCUGUAGAGCAUCUUUAUGAUCACCCAGUUACGUUGUGACAUUUGAUAGCACUCAAGGUGUUCCUACGGUAUUCGGGAGUUGCAUAAUCUCAUAGUCAGAGGAACAUGUAUAAGUCAUGAAGAAAGCAAUAGCACUAAAACUAAACGAUCAUUAUGCUAAGCUAACGGAUGGGUCUUGUCCAUCACAUCAUUCUCUAAUGAUGUGAUCCCAUUCAUCAAAUGACAACACAUGUCAAUGGUCAGGAAACUUAACCAUCUUUGAUUAACGAGCUAGUCAAGUAGAGGCAUACUAGGGACACUCUGUUUGUCUAUGUAUUCACACAUGUACUAAGUUUCCGGUUAAUACAAUUCUAGCAUGAAAAAUAAACAUUUAUCAUGAUAUAAGGAAAUAUAAAUAACAACUUUAUUAUUUCUGCUAGGGCAUAUUUCCUUCAGUCUCCCACUUGCACUAGAGUCACUAAUCUAGAUUACAUAGUAAUGAUUCUAACACCCAUGGAGUCUUGGUGCUGAUCAUGUUUUGCUCGUGAGAGAGGGUUAGUCAACGGGUCUGCAACAUUCAGAUCCGUAUGUAUCUUGCAAAUCUCAUAGUCUCCCUCCUUGACUUGAUCGCGGAUGGAAUUGAAGCGUCUCUUGAUGUGUUUGGUUCUCUUGUGAAAUCUGGAUUCCUUUGCUAAGGCAAUUGCUCCAGUAUUGUCACAAAAUAUUUUUGGACCCGAUGCACUAGGUAUUACACUUAUAUCGGAUAUGAACUCCUUCAUCCAGACUCCUUCAUUUGCAACUUCCAAAGCAGCUAUAUACUCCACUUCACACGUAGAUCCUGCCCCAACGCUCUUCUUGGAACUGCACCAACUAACAGCUCCACCAUUCAAUAUAAAUACGUAUCCGGUUUGUGACUUAGAGUCAUCUGGAUCAUUGUCAAAGCUUGCAUCGACGUAACCAUUUACGACGAGCUCUUUGUCACCUCCAUAAACGAGAAACAUAUCCUGAAGGAAAUAUGCCCUAGAGGCAAUAAUAAAGUUAUUAUUUAUUUCCUUAUAUCAUGAUAAAUGUUUAUUAUUCAUGCUAUAAUUGUAUUAACCGGAAACAUAUUACAUGUGUGAAUACAUAAAAAAACAGAGUGUCACUAGUAUGCCUCUACUUGACUAGCUCGUUGAUCAAAGAUGGUUAUGUUUCCUAACCAUAGACAUGAGUUGUCAUUUGAUUAACGGGAUCACAUCAUUAGGAGAAUGAUGUGAUUGACUUGACCCAUUCCAUAAGCAUAGCACUUGAUCGUUUAGUUUGUUGCUAUUGCUUUCUUCAUGACUUAUACAUGUUCCUAUGACUAUGAGAUUAUGCAACUCCCGUUUACCGAAGGAACACUUUGUGUGCCACCAAACGUCACAACAUAACUGGGUGAUUAUAAAGGUGCUCUACAGGUGUCUCCGAAGGUACUUGUUGGGUUGGCGUAUUUCGAGAUUAGGAUUUGUCACUCUGAUUGUCGGAGAGGUAUCUCUGGGCCCUCUCAGUAAUGCACAUCACUUAAGCCUUGCAAGCCUUGCAACUAAUGAGUUAGUUGCAGGAUGAUGUAUUACGGAACGAGUAAAGAGACUUGAUGGUAACGAGAUUGAACUAGGUAUUGAGAUACCGACGUUCGAAUCUCGGGAAAGUAACAUACCGGUGACAAAGGGAACAACGUAUGUUGUUAUGCGGUCUGACCGAUAAAGAUAUUCGUAGAAUAUGUGGGAGCCAAUAUGAGCAUCCAGGUUCCGCUAUUGGUUAUUAACCGGAGAUGUGUCUCGGUCAUGUCUACAUUGUUCUCAAACCCGUAGGGUCCGCACGCUUAAGGUUUCGAUGACAGUUAUAUUACUCCCUCCGUUCCUUGAUAUAAGGUGUAUAGAUUUUUUAGAAAAAGUUCGAAAUAUAAGGUGUAUUGCGUUGCACCACUCGUUUGAAUAAUUUUUUUAGGGAUUUGAUUACGUUUACAUAUAUUAGGAAAACUCCUCUAUUUUCUCAUGUCAAUUAGUCAGGUGUAAUCUCGCCCAAAACUUGUGAAAUUUUCACUCCACGUGUGUUCUUUAAUUUUCGUGCCAAAAACUAUACACCUUAUAUUUAGGAAUGGAGGGAGUAUGAGUUUAUGAGUUUUGAUGUACCGAAGGAGUUCGGAGUCCCGGAUGAGAUCGGGGACAUGACGAGGAGUCUCGAAAUGGUCGAGACGUAAAGAUCGAUAUAUUGGACGGCUAUAUUUGGACACCAGAAGUGUUUCGGGUGAUUUCGGAGAAAAUCGGAGUGCCGGAAGGGUUACCGGAACCCCCCGGGGAAGUAUUGGGCCUUAGUGGGCCUGAGGGGAGAGAGAGGGUGGUAGCCCAGGAGGUGGUGCGCCCCCUCCCAUGGGGAGUCCGAAUUGGACUAGGGGAGGGGGCGCGGCCCCUCUUUCCCUCUCCCUCUCCCUCUCUUUCCUUCCCCCUUCUCUCUUCCUAGUUGGACUAGGAAAGGGGAGUUCUACUCCUACUAAGAGGAGGACUCCCCCCUCCUUGGCGCGCCCCAAGGGCCGGCCAGCCUCUCCCCCUUGCUCCUUUAUAUACAGGGGCAGGGGGGCACCUCUAGAGACACAAGUUGAUCUUCGUGAUCGUUCUCUUAGCCGUGUGCGGUGCCCCCCUCCACCAUAAUCCUCGAUAAUAUUGUAGUGGUGCUUAGGCGAAGCCCUGCGACGGUAGAACAUCAAGAUCGUCACUACGUCGUCGUGCUGACGGAACUCUUCCCCGACACUUUGCUAGAUCGGAGUCCGGGGAUCGUCAUCGAGCUGAACGUGUGCUAGAACUCGGAGGUGUCGUAGUUUCGGUGCUUGAUCGGUCAGGCCGUGAAGACGUACGACUACAUCAACCGCGUUGUGCUAACGCUUCCGCUUUUGGUCUACGAGGGUACGUGGACAACACUCUUCCCUCUCGUUGCUAUGCACCACCAUGAUCUUGCAUGUGCGUAGGAAUUUUUUUGAAAUUACUACGUUCCCCGACAGUGGCAUCCGAGCCUAGGUUUUAUGCGUUGAUGUUGUGCACGAGUAGAACACAAGUGAGUUGUGGGCGAUAUAAGUCAUACUGCUUACCAGCAUGUCAUACUUUGGUUCGGCGGUAUUGUUGGAUGAAGCGGCCCGGACAGACAUUACGCGUACGCUUACGCGAGACUGGUUCUGCCGACGUGCUUUGCACACAGGUGGCUGGCGGGUGUCAGUUUCUCCAACUUUAGUUGAACCAAGUGUGGCUACGCCCGGUCCUUGCGAAGGUUAAAACAGCACCAACUUGACAAACUAUCGUUGUGGUUUUGAUGCGUAGGUAAGAACGGUUCUUGCUAAAUCCCGUAGCAGCCACGUAAAACUUGCAACAGCAAAGUACAGGACGUCUAACUUGUUUUUGCGGGGCAUGUUGUGAUGUGAUAUGGUCAAGACAUGAUGCUAAAUUUUAUUGUAUGAGAUGGUCAUGUUUUGUAACUGAGUUAUCGGCAACUGGCAGGAGCCAUAUGGUUGUCACUUUAUUGUAUGCAAUGCAAUCGCGCUGUAAUGCUUUACUUUAUCACUAAGCGGGUAGCGAUAAUCGUGGAAGCAUAAGAUUGGCGAGACGACAAUGAUGCUAUGAUGGAGAUCAAGGUGUCACGCCGGUGACGAUGGUGAUCAUGACGGUACUUCGGAGAUGGAGAUCACAAGUACAAGAUGAUGAUGGCCAUAUCAUAUCACUUAUAUUGAUUGCAUGUGAUGUUUAUCUUUUAUGCAUCUUAUUUGCUUUGAUUGACGGUAGCAUUAUAAGAUGAUCCCUCACUAAAUUAUCAAAGUAUAAGUGUUCUCCCAGAGUAUGCACCGUUGCGAAAGUUCUUCGUGCUGAGACACCACGUGAUGAUCGGGUGUGAUAGGCUCUACGUUCAAAUACAACAGUUGCAAAAUAGUUGCACACGCGGAAUACUCAGGUUAAACUUGACGAGCCUAGCAUAUAACAGAUAUGGCCUCGGAACACGGAGACCGAAAGGUCGAACGUGAAUCAUAUAGUAGAUAUGAUCAACAUAGUGAUGUUCACCAUUGAAACUACUCCAUCUCACGUGAUGAUCGGACAUGGUUUAGUUGAUAUGGAUCACGUGAUCACCAUUGAAACUACCCCCCCCCUUGAUCCUUUAUAUACGGGGGCAGGGGGCACCCCUAGACACACAAGUUGAUCCACGUGAUUAUAUUCUUAGCCGUGUGCGGUGCCCCCUUCCACCAUAAUCCUCGAUAAUAUUGUAGCGGUGCUUAGGCGAAGCCCUGCGACGGUAGUACAUCAAGAUCGUCACCACGCCGUCGUGCUGACGGAACUCUUCCCCGACAUUUUGCUGGAUCGGAGUCCGGGGAUCGUCAUCGAGCUAAACGUGUGCUAGUACUCGGAGGUGUCGUAGUUUCGGUGCUUGAUCGGUCGGGCCGUGAAGACGUACGACUACAUCAACCGCGUUGUGCUAACGCUUCCGCUGUCGGUCUACAAGGGUACGUAGAUCACACUCUCCCCUCUCGUUGCUAUGCAUCACCAUGAUCUUGCGUGUGCGUAGGAAUUUUUUUGAAAUUACUACGUUCCCCAACAGUGGCAUCCGAGCCUAGGUUUUCUGUGUUGAUGCUAUAUGCACGAGUAGAACACAAGUAAGUUGUGGGCGAUAUAAGUCAUACUACUUACCAGCAUGUCAUACUUUGGUUCGGCGGUUUUGUUGGACGAAGCGGCCCGGACCGACAUUACGCAUACGCUUAUGUGAGACUGGUUCUCCCGACGUGCUUUGCACAUAGGUGGCUUGCGGGUGACAGUUUCUCCAACUUUAGUUGAACCGAGUGUGGCUACGCCCGGUCCUUGCGAAGGUUAAAACAUCACCAACUUGACAAACUAUCGUUGUGGUUUUGAUGCGUAGGUAAGAUUGGUCCUUGCUUAAGCCCGUAGCAGCCACGUAAAACUUACAACAACAAAGUAGAGGAUGUCUAACUUGUUUUUGCAGGGCAUGUUGUGAUGUGAUAUGGUCAAGACAUGAUGCUAAAUUUUAUUGUAUGAGAUGAUCAUGUUUUGUAACCGAGUUAUCGGCAACUGGCAGGAGGCAUAUGGUUGUCGCUUUAUUGUAUGCAAUGCAAUCGCGCUGUAAUGCUUUACUUUAUCACUAAGCGGUAGCGAUAGUCGUGGAAGCAUAAGAUUGGCGAGACGACAACGAUGCUACGAUGGAGAUCAAGGUGUCGCGCCGGUGAUGAUGGUGAUCACGACGGUGCUUCGAAGAUGGAGAUCACAAGCACAAGAUGAUGAUGGCCAUAUCAUAUCAUUUAUAAUGAUUGCAUGUGAUGUUUAUCUUUUAUGCAUCUUAUCUUGCUUUGAUUGAUGGUAGCAUUAUAAGAUGAUCUCUCACUAAUUAUCAAGAAGUGUUCUCCCUGAGUAUGCACCGUUGCGAAAGUUCUUUGUGCUGAGACACCACAUGAUGAUCGGGUAUGAUAGGCUCUACGUUCAAAUACAACGGGUGCAAAACAGUUGCACACGCGGAAUACUCAGGUUAAACUUGACGAGCCUAGCAUAUACAAAUAUGGCCUCGGAACACGGAGACCGAAAGGUCGAACGUGAAUCAUAUAGUAGAUAUGAUCAACAUAGUGAUGUUCACCAUUGAAACUACUCCAUCUCACGUGUUGAUCGAACAUGGUUUAGUUGAUUUGGAUCACGUGAUCACUUAGAGGAUUAGUGGGAUGUCUAUCUAAGUGGCAGUUCUUAAGUAAUAUGAUUAAUUGAACUUUAAUUUAUCAUGAACUUAGUCCUGGUAGUAUUAGCAUAUCUAUGUUGUAGAUCAAUAGCUCGCGUUUAGCUCCCCUGUUUUAUUUUUGAUAUGUUCGUAGAGAAAACUAAGUUGAAAGAUGUUAGUAGCAAUGAUGCGAAUUGGAUCUGUGAUCUGAGGUUUAUCCUCAUUGCUGCACAGAAGAAUUAUGUCUUUGAUGCACCGCUAGGUGACAAACCUAUUGCAGGAGCAGAUGCAGAUGUUAUGAACAUUUGGCUAGCUCAAUAUGAUGACUACUUGAUAGUUUAGUGCACCAUGCUUAAACGGCUUAGAAUCGGGACUUCAAAGACGUUUUGAACGUCAUGAACCAUAUGAGAUGUUCCAGGAGUUGAAGUUAAUAUUUCAAGCAAAUACCCGAGUUGAUAGAUAUGAAGUCUCCAACAAGUUCUAUAGCUAAAAGAUGGAGGAUAAUAGCUCAAGCAGUGAGCAUGUGCUCAGAUUGUCUGGGUACUACAAUCGGUUGAAUCAAGUGGGUGUUAAUCUUCCAGAUAAAAUAGUGAUUGACAAAAUUCUCUAGUCACCAUCACCAAGUUAGUAGAAUUCGUGAUGAACUAUGAUAUGCAAGGGAUAACGGAAACGAUUCCCAAGCUCUUCGUAAUGCUGAAAUCGACGAAGGUAGAAAUCAAGAAAAAUAUCAAGUGUUGAUGGUAGACAAGACCACUAGUUUCAAGAAAAGGGCAAAGGGAAGAAGGGGAACUUCAAGAAGAAUGGCAAGCAAGUUGCUGCUCAAGUGAAGAAGCCCAAGUCUGGUCCUAAGCCUGAGACUAAGUGCUUCUACUGCAAAGGGACUGGUCACUGGAAGCGGAACUGCCCCAAGUAUUUGGCGGAUAAGAAGGAUGGCAAAGUGAACAAAGGUAUAUUUGAUAUACAGAUUAUUGAUGUGUAUUUUACUAGUGUUCAUAGCAACCCCUCGGUAUUUGAUACUGGUUCAGUUGCUAAGAGUAGUAACUCGAAACGGGAGUUGCAUAAUGAACAUAGACUAGUUAAGGGUGAAGUGACGAUGUGUGUUGGAAGUGGUUCCAAGAUUGAUAUGAUCAUCAUCGCACACUCCCUAUACUUUGGGAUUAGUGUUGAACCUAAAUAAGUGUUAUUUGGUGUUUGCAUUGAGCAUGAAUAUGAUUUGAUCAUGUUUAUUGCAAUAUGGUUAUUCAUUUAAGUAAGAGAAUAAAUUGUUGUUCUGUUUACAUGAAUAAAACCUUAUAUGGUUACACACCCAAUGAAAAUGGUUCGUUGGAUCUCAAUCGUAGUGAUACACAUAUUCAUAAUAUUGAAACCAAAAGAUGCAAAGUUAAUAAUGAUGGUGAAAUUUAUUUGUGGCACUGCCAUUUAGGUCAUAUUUGUGUAAAGCGCAUGAAGAAAAUCCAUGCUGAUGGUCUUUUGGAAUCACUUGAUUAUGAAUCAGUUGAUGCUUGCGAACCAUGCCUCAUGGGCAAGAUGACUAAGACUCCGUUCUCCAGAACAAUGGAGCGAGCAAAAGAUUUGUUGGAAAUCAUACAUACUGAUGUAUGUAGUCCGAUGAAUAUUGAGGCUCGUGGAAGGUAUCAUUAUUUUCUGAUCUUCACAGAUGAUUUGAGCAGAUAUGAGUAUAUCUACUUGAUGAAACACAAGUCUGAAACAUUUGAAAAGUUCAAAGAAUUUCAGAGUGAAGUGGAGAAUCAUCGUAACAAAAAUGAAAGUUUCUACGAUAUGAUCGCAAAAGUAAAAUAUUUGAGUUACGAGUUUGGCCUUUAGUUAAAAACAAUGUGAAAUAGUUUCACUACUCACGCCACCUGGAACACCACAGCAUAAUGGUGUGUUCGAACGUCAUAACCGUACUUUAUUAGAUAUGGUGCGAUCUAUGAUGUCUCUUACCGAUCUACCACUAUCGUUUUGGGGUUAUGCAUUAGAGACAGCUGCAUUCACGUUAAAUAGGGCACCAUCUAAAUCCGUUGAGACGACACCGUAUGAACUAUGGUUUGGCAAGAAACCUAAGCUGUCGUUUCUUAAAGUUUGAGGUUGCAAUGCUUAUGUGAAAAAGUUUCAACCUGAUAAGCUCUAACCCAAAUCGGAGAAGUGCUUCUUCAUAGGAUACCCAAAAGAAAAUGUUGGGUACACCUUCUAUCACAGAUCCGAAGGCAAUAUAUUCAUUGCUUUGAAUGGAUCCUUUCUAGAAAAGGAGUUUCUCUCAAAAGAAGUGAGUGGGAGGAAAGUAGAACUUGAUGAGGUAACUGUACCUGCUCCCUUAUUGGAAAGUAGUUCAUCACAGAAAUCUGUUCCUGUGACUACUACACCGAUUAGUAAGGAAGCUAAUGAUGAUGAUCAUGUAACUUCAGAUCAAGUUACUACCGAACCUCGUAGGUAAACCAAAGUGAGAUCCGCACCAGAGUGUUACAGUAAUCCUGUUCUGGAGGUCAUGUUACUUGACCAUGACGAGCCUACGAACUAUGAGGAAGCGAUGAUGAGCCCAGAUUCGGUGAAAUGGCUUGAGGCCAUGAAAUCUGAGAUGAGAUCCAUGUAUGAGAACAAAGUAUAGACUUUGAUUGACUUGCCCAAUGAUCGGCGAGCCAUUGAGAUUAAAUGGAUCUUCAAGAGAAAUACGGACGCUGAUAGUAGUGUUACUAUCUACAAAGCUAGAAUUGUCGCAAAAAGGUUUUUGACAAGUUCAAGGUGUUGACUAUGAUGAGAGUUUCUCACUCGUACCUAUGCUUAAGUCUGUCCGAAUCAUGUUAGCAAUUGCCGCAUUUUAUGAAAUCUGGCAAAUGGAUAAACAAAACUGCAUUCCUUAAUGGAUUUAUUAAAGAAGAGUUGUAUAUGAUGCAACAAGAAGGUUUUGUCAAUCCUAAAGGUACUAACAAAAUAUGCAAGCUCCAACGAUCCAUCUAUGGACUGGUGCAAGCAUCUCGGAGUUGGAAUAUACGCUUUGAUAAGUUGAUCAAAGCAUAUAAUUUUAUACAGACUUGCGGUGAAGCCUGUAUUUACAAGAAAGUGAGUGGGAGCACUACAUCAUUUCUGAUAAGUAUAUGUGAAAGACAUAUUGUUGAUUGGAGAUGAUGUAGAAUUAUUUGCAAAGCAUAAAGGAAUGUUUCAAAGGAGUUUUUCAAAGAAAGACCUCGGUGAAGCUGCUUACAUAUUGAGCAUCAAGAUCUAUAGAGAUAGAUCAAGACGCUUGAUAAGUUUUUCAAUGAGUACAUACCUUGACAAGAUUUUGAAGUAGUUCAAAAUGGAACAAUCAAAGAAGGAGUUCUUGCCUGUGUUACAAAGGUGUGAAGUUGAGUAAGACUCAAAACCCGACCACGGCAGAAGAUAGAGAGAGAAUGAAAGUCAUUCCCUAUGCCUCAGCCAUAGGUUCUAUAAAGUAUGCCAUCCUGUGUACCAGACCUAUUGUAUACCCUGCCCUGAGUUUGGCAAGGGAGUACAAUAGUGAUCUAGGAGUAGAUCACUGGACAUUGGUCAAAAUUAUCCUUAGUGGAAUAAGGAUAUGUUUCUCGAUUAUGGAGGUGACAAAAGGUUCGUCGUAAAGGGUUGCGUCGAUGCAAGUUUUGACACUGAUCCAGAUGACUCUAAGUCUCAAUCUAGAUACAUAUUGAAAGUGGGAGCAAUUAGCUAGAGUAGCUCCAUGCAGAGCAUUGUUGACAUAGAAAUUUGCAAAAUACUUACGGAUCUGAAUGUGGCAGACCCGUUGACUAAACUUCUCUCACAAGCAAAACAAGAUCACACCCUAGUAGUCUUUGGGUGUUAAUCACAUAGCGAUGUGAACUAGAUUAUUGACUCUAGUAAACCCUUUGGGUGUUGGUCACAUAUCGAUGAGAACUAUGGGUGUUAAUCACAUGGUGAUGUGAACUAUUGAUGUUAAAUCACAUGGCGACGUGAACUAGAUUAUUGACUCUAGUGCAAGUGGGAGACUGAAAGAAAUAUGCCCUAGAGGCAAUAAUAAAGUUAUUAUUUAUUUCCUUAUAUCAUGAUAAAUGUUUAUUAUUCAUGCUAGAAUUGUAUUAACCAGAAACAUAAUACAUGUGUGAAUACAUAGACAAACAGAGUGUCACUAGUAUGCCUCUACUUGACUAGCUCGUUGAUCAAAGAUGGUUAUGUUUCCUAACCAUAGACAUGAGUUGUCAUUUGAUUAACGGGAUCACAUCAUUAGGAGAAUGAUGUGAUUGACAUGACCCAUUCCGUUAGCAUAACACUUGAUCGUUUAGUUUGUUGCUAUUGCUUUCUUCAUGACUUAUACAUGUUCCUAUGACUAUGAGAUUAUGCAACUCCCGUUUACCGGAGGAACACUUUGUGUGCCACCAAACGUCACAACGUAACUGGGUGAUUAUAAAGGUGCUCUAUAGGUGUCUCCGAAGGUACUUGUUGGGUUGGCGUAUUUCGAGAUUAGGAUUUGUCACUCCGAUUGUCGGAGAGGUAUCUCUGGGCCCUCUCGGUAAUGCACAUCACUUAAGCCUUGCAAGCAUUGCAACUAAUGAGUUAGUUGUAGGAUGAUGUAUUACGGAACGAGUAAAGAGACUUGCCGGUAACGAGAUUGAACUAGGUAUUGAGAUACCGACGAUCGAAUCUUGGGAAAGUAACAUACCGAUGACAAAGGGAACAACAUAUGUUGUUAUGCGGUCUGACCAAUAAAGAUCUUCGUAGAAUAUGUGGGAGCCAAUAUGAGCAUCCAGGUUCCGCUAUUGGUUAUUGACCGGAGACGUGUCUCGGUCAUGUCUACAUUGUUCUCGAACCCGUAGGGUCCGCACGCUUAAGGUUUCGAUGAUAGUUAUAUUAUGAGUUUAUGAGUUUUGAUGUACCGAAGGAGUUCGGAGUCCCAGGUGAGAUCGGGGACAUGACGAGGAGUCUCAGAAUGGUCGAGACGUAAAGAUCGAUAUAUUGGACGGCUAUAUUCGGACACCGGAAGUGUUUCUGGUGAUUUCGGAGAAAACCGGAGUGCCGGAAGGGUUACCAGAACCCCCCGGGGAAGUAUUGGGCCUUAGUGGGCCUGAGGGGAGAGAGAGAGCAGCAGCCCAGGAGGUAGCGCGCCCCCUCCCAUGGGGAGUCCGAAUUGGACUAGGGGAGGGGGGCGCGGCCCCUCUUUCCCUCUCCCUCUCCCUCUCUUUCCUUCCCCCUUCUCUCUUCCUAGUUGGACUAGGAAAGGGGAGUCCUACUCCUACUAGGAGGAGGACUCCCCCCUCCGUGCCGCACCCCAAGGGCCGGCCGGCCUCUCCCCCUUGCUCCUUUGUAUACAGGGGCAGGGGGGCACCUCUGGAGACACAAGUUGAUCUUCGUGAUCGUUCUCUUAGCCGUGUGCGGUGCCCCCCUCUACCAUAAUCCUCGAUAAUAUUGUAGCGGUGCUUAGGCGAAGCCUUGCGACGGUAGAACAUCAAGAUCGUCACCACGCCGUCGUGCUGAUGGAACUCUUCCCCGACACUUUGCUAGAUCGGAGUCCGGGGAUCGUCAUCGAGCUGAACGUGUGCUAGAACUCCGAGGUGCCGUAGUUUCGGUGCUUGAUCGGUCGGGCCGUGAAGACGUACGACUAGAUCAACCGCGUAGUGCUAACGCUUCUGCUUUCGGUCUACGAGGGUACGUGGACAACACUCUUCCCUCUCGUUGCUAUGCAUCACCAUGAUAUUGCGUGUGCAUAGGAAUUUUUUUGAAAUUACUACGUUCCCCAACAUAUCCUUAGUCCUUUUCAGGUAUUUCAGGAUUUUCUUGACCACUAUCCAAUGAUCCACUCCUGGAUUACUUUGGUACCUCCCUACUAAACUUGUAGCAAGGCACACAUCAGGUCUGGUACACAGCAUUGCAUACAUGAUAGAACCUAUGGCUGAGGCAUAGGGGAUGACUUUCAUUUUCUCUCUAUCUUCUGUAGUGGUCAGAGUAACACAGGCAAGAACCCUUUCUUUGACUGAUCCAUUUUGAACUUCUUCAAAACUUUAUCAAGGUAUGUGCUUUCUGAAAGUCCAGUUAAGCGUCUUAAUCUAUCUUUAUAGAUUUUGAUGCCCAAUAUAUAAGCAGCUUCACCGAGGUCUUUCAUUGAAAAAUUCUUAUUCAAGUAUCCUUUUUUGCUAUCCAGAAAUUCCGUUUUAUUUCAAAUUAACAAUAUGUCAUCCACAUAUAAUAUUAGAAAUGCGGUUCGCGAGUCGCCGACGACACCGUAGCCCGAAGGGGCGACGCAACGGCGGUUCGCGAGUCGGUGCGGCCUUAGGACGACGGCGUGGACCGCGUGCCACGCUCGCUACUGCCGGAUGGGCCGACACAGCGGAGGCGCAAGGGUCGGUGCAGCCACGGGACGACCUGGAGCGGACGGCCUCGGGGCGGCGAGGGAUCGCGGGUCGCGACACUACGGCCAGAAGGGCCGAUGCAAUGGUGACGCGGGUCGGUGCAGCUAGGAAAAGAACCACGGGGCGGCGGCGCUGCGGCCCGACUGGGCGACGCAACGGCAAUCCAUUGCUCGAUCAGUGGAGGGGCGCGCUAAACUCGGGACGGUCUUCACGGGGCCUGCGAAGCGCGCGCAACCAACGAGCCAGGUUGGUCGCACGGCGUAGAUGAUGCGUGAUACGCCCAUUUUGCAUCAUGCUUUUAUAUCAAUAUUUAUUGCAUUAUGGGAUGUUAUUACACAUUAUGUCACAAUACUUAUGCCUUUUCAAUCUUAUUUUACAAGGUUUACAUGAAGAGGGAGAAUGCCGGGAGCUGGAAUUCUAGGCUGGAAAAGGAGCAAAUAUUAGAGACCAUUAUGCACAACUCCAAAAGUCCUGAAACUCCACGAAAGUCAGUUUUGGAAUAUGUAUAUAUAUAUAUAUAUAUAUAAUAUUGGGAGAAGGAAGCACCAAAGGGGGGCCACCCACCGUCCACGAGGGUGGAGGGCGCGCCCUACCCCCUAGGAGCGCCUCCUGCCUUGUGGGCCACCUGGAAGCCCCCCGAUGCCCAUCUUCUGGUAUAAGGUCUCUUGUGCCCUCAAAAAAUCAGAAGGAAGCUUUUGGGACGAAGCGCCACGGUCUCCAGGCGGAACCUUGGCGGAACCAAUCUAGAGCUCCGGCGGAGCUAUUCUGCCAGGGAAACAUCCCUCCGAGAGGGGGAAAUCAUCACCAUCAUCAUCACCAUCGAUCCUCCCAUCGGGAGGGGGUCAAUCUCCAUCAACAUAUUCACUAGCACCAUCUCCUCCCAAACCCUAGUUCAUCUCUUAUACCCGAUCUUUGUCCCAAAACCUUAGAUUGGUACCUGUGGGUUGCUAAUAGUGUUGAUUACUCCUUGUAGUUGAUGCUAGUUGGUUAAUUUGGUGGAAGAUUAUAUGUUCAAAUCCUUUAUACACAUUAAUACCCCUCUGAUUAUGAACAUGAAUAUGAUUUGUGAGUAGUUAUGUUUGUUCCUGAGGACAUGGGAGAAGUCUUGUUAUAAGUUGUCGUGUGAAUUUGGUUCGUUCGAUAUUUUGAUGAGAUGUAUGUUGUCUUUCCUCUAGUGGUGUUAUGUGAACGUCGACUACAUGACACUUCACCAUUGUUUGGGCCUAGGGGAAGGCAUUGGAAAGUAAUAAGUAGAUGAUGGGUUGCUAGAGUGACAGAAGCUUAAACCCUAGUUUAUGCGUUGCUUCGUAAAGGGCUGAUUUGGAUCCAUAUGUUUCAUGCUAUGCUUAGGUUUACCUUAAUUCUUCUUUCGUAGUUACGGAUGCUUGCGAGGGGGGUUAAUCAUAAGUGGGAUGCCUGUCCAAGGAAGGGCAGUACCCAAGCACCGGUCCACCCACAUAUCAAAUUAUCAAAGUAACAAACGCAAAUCAUAUGAGCAUUAUGAAAACUAGCUUGACAAUAAUUCCCAUGUGUCCUCGGGGGCGCUUUCCUUUAUAUAAGAGUUUGUCCAGGCUUGUACUUUGCUACAAAAAGGAUUGAGCCACCUUGCUGCACCUUGUUUACUUUUGUUACUUAUUACCCGUUACGAAUUACCGUAUCACAAAACUAUCUAUUACCGAUAAUUUCAAUGCUUGCAGAGAAUACCUUACUGAAAACCGAUUGUCAUUUCCUUCUGCUCCUCGCUGGGUUCGACACUCUUACUUAUCGAAAGGACUACGAUAAAUCCCCUAUACUUGUGGGUCAGCAAGACUCUUUUCUGGUGUCGUUUCCGGGGAGUGAAGCGUCUUUGGUAGGUGGAAUUUGGUAAGGAAAAUUUUAUAUAGUGUGCUGAAAUUUACUGUCACUUGUUACUAUGGAAAAUAAUUGUUUGAGGGGCUAGUUCGGGGUAUCUUCACCUCGACAAGUAGAGCAAAGAGUUGCUCCUCAACCUAAUGAACCUACUGAAAAUGUUUACUUUGAAAUUCCUUCGGGUAUGAUAGAGAAACUGCUAGCUAAUCCUUUUACAGGAGAUGGAACAUUAUAUCCCGAUAUGUACCUAAUCUAUGUGGAUGAAGUUUGUGGAUUAUUUAAGCUUGCAGGUAUGCGAGGAUGUUAUCAAGAAGUACGUCUUCCCUUUAUCUUUGAAGGGAAAAGCAUUGACAUGGUUUAGGCUAUGUGAUGAUAUUGGAUCGUGGAACUACAACCGAUUGAAAUUGGAAUUUAAUCAGAAGUUUUUAUCCUAUGUAUCCGGUUCAUCGUGAUCGUAUAUAUAUAGUGCUAAUAUUCAUCACCCAGGGUGCAGAAUAAGUUAUUCUUCACCCGAGGUAAUCUUACGAUCAUUUCAUAAUUAAAUUACGUUUACAAUUCAAAUAGUUACAUUCCUAUUGAUUCAUUACGUAAAAUUUGGCAUAAGAAAAUAAAAAUAUAGGUCAUAAGACAAGAAAAUUUGCAGUUUAUGUGUAUUUUACACUAUGUUUUUACAUUUUUAAUUUUACAUAACAUAAAAUAUUUUUUACAAUGAUUAUAUAUUUUCUUACGGUCUCUUUUUACAUCGGAAAUAAGACAAAACUUACGGAACGUAAAAUUAUGGGGUAUUGAUGAUAAAAUAGAGGGGGGGGGUGAAGAAUAACCUUUCCUCACCCAGGGUGACGAAUAGCGCGACCCUAUAUAGGACUACUCUUCUGUACUCCUGGGAGUAUGUACUCUCAUUCUCAAUAUACCUCAUAUACACAUUAAUUAUACCUCUUUAUUAUUCUCAAUAUACUUCAUUAAAUAUUCUAAGAUACCCCAAUACGAGUUUUGUUGAAAAAAUAUCAUCUGUGAUGUACUUUUUGUAAUAUACCUUUUUCACGUACAAACACAUCAGUAUAUACAUAAACAUUUAAAAAUAUGUAGACUCACAUGAGUUUUUUCAUGGAACUCAUUUUGGGGUAUCUAAUAAUUACAAAUAAAGUAUAUUAAAAAUAAUAAAGUGGUAUAAAAGAUUCAUCUAUGUGGUAUAUGAGAAGCAGGAGUACGUAUUCCCAGGAGUACGCAACCAUUUUCCUUUAUAUAUAUAUAUAUAUAUAUAUAUAUAUAUAUAUAUAUAUAUAUAAAUUUUGGCCUCACGAAGGAGAAAGUAUCGCUCAAGCUUGGGGGAGGCUUAAGUCAAUGUUAUAUUCAUGCCCCAAUCAUGAGCUCUCAAGAGAAAUUAUUAUUCAAAAAAUUUAUGCUCGGCUUUCUCUCAAUAAUCGCUCCAAUGCUCAAUACUUCUUGUACUGGUUCUUUUAUGAUGAAGACUAUUGAAUUCAAAUGGGAUUUAUUGGAAAGAAUUAAACGCAACUCUGAAGAUUGGGAACUCGACGAAGGUAAGGAGUCAGGUAUAACACCUAAGUUUGAUUGUGUUAAAUAUUUUAUGGAUACCGAUGUUUUUCAUGAAUUUAGAACUAAAUAUGGACUUGACUCUGAGAUAGUAGCUUCUUUUUGUGAAUCAUUUGCUACUCAUGUUGAUUUUCCUAAAGAGAAGUGGUUUAAAUAUCAUCCUCCCAUUGAAGUAAAAGUAGUCAAACCUAUUAAAGUUGAAAAAAAUAUCACUUAUAAUGUUGAUCCUAUUGUUCCUACCGCUUAUAUUGAGAAACCACCUUUCCCUGUUAGAAUAAAGGAUCAUGCUAAAGCUUCAAUUGUGGUUCAUAAGAGUAAUGCUAGAACACCUACACCCCCGAGCAAAUUAAAGUUGAACCUAGUAUUGCUAUUGUUAAAGAUCUCUUGGUCAAUAAUAUUGAUGGGCAUGUUAUUUACUUCUGUGAUGAAGCUGCUAGAAUUGCUAGACCCGAUACUAAAAAUAAACAUAGACCUAUUGUAGGCAUGCAUGUUGUUUCUGUUAAAAUAGGAGAUCAUUGCUAUCAUGACUUAUGUGACAUGGGUGCUAGUGCGAGUGCAAUACCUCAUUCCUUAUACAAACAAAUUAUGCAUGAUAUUGCACCUGUUGGGAUAGAAGGUAUUGAUGUUACAAUUAAGCUUGCCAAUAGAGAUACUAUUUCACCAAUUGGGAUUGUUAGAGGUGUUGAAGUCUUGUGUGGGAAAGUUAAAUAUCCUACUGAUUUUCUUGUUCUUGGUUCCCCACAAGAUGAAUUUUGUCCCAUUAUAUUUGGUAGACCCUUCUUGAAUACUGUUAACGCUAAGGUAGACUGCAAAAAGGAUAUUGUUACCGUUGGUUUAGGGGAUAUGUCUCAUGAUUUUAAUUUUGCUAAAUUUCGUAGACAACCCCAUGAUAAAGAAUUGCCUAGUAAAGAUGAAAUUAUUGGUCUUGCUUCUAUUGCCGUGCCUCCUAAUGAUCAUUUAGAACAAUAUUUGCUAGACCAUGAAAAUGAUAUGUUUAUGAAUGAAAGAAGGGAAAUAAAUGAAGUAUCCUUUAAACAGGGACUUAUUUUGAAACACAACUUGCCUGUUGAAAUUCUAGGGGAUCCUCCUCCACCCAAGGGUGAUCCCGUGUUUGAGCUUAAACCAUUACCCGAUAAACUUAAAUAUGCUUAUCUUGAUGAAAAGAAGAUAUAUCAUGUUAUUAUUAGUGCUAACCUUUUGGAGCAGGAAGAAGAGAAAUUAUUGAGAACUCUGAACAAGCACCGUGCUGCUAUUGGAUAUACUCUUGAUGAUCUUAAGGGCAUUAGUCCCACUCUAUGCCAGCACAAAAUAAAAUUGGAGAAAGACGCUAAACCGGUUGUUGAUCACCAACGACGGUUAAAUUCUAAGAUGAAAGAAGUGGUAAGAAAUGAAAUACUAAAGCUUCUGGAGGCAGGUAUAAUUUAUCAUGUUGCUGAUAGUCAGUGGGUAAGUCCUGUCCAUUAUGUCCCUAAGAAGGGAGGUAUUACUGUUGUUCCUAAUGAUAAAGAUGAAUUGAUCCCACAAAGAAUUGUCACAGGUUAUAGAAUGGUAAUUGACUACCGCAAAUUAAUAAAGCUACUAGAAAGGAUCAUUACCCUUUACCUUUUAUUUAUCAAAUGCUAGAAAGAUUGUCCAAACAUACACAUUUUUGCUUUCUAGACGGUUAUUCUGGUUUCUCUCAAAUACCUGUGUCAGAAGAGGAUCAGGAAAAGACCACUUUUACUUUCCCUUUCAGUACCUUUGAUUAUAGAUGUAUGCCUUUUGGUUUAUGUAAUGCACCUGCUACCUUUCAAGGAUGUAUGACUGCUAUAUUCUCUGACUUUUGUGAAAAGAUUGUUGAGGUUUUCAUGGAUGAUUUAUCCGUGUAUGGAACUUCUUUUGAUGAUUGCUUAAACAACCUUGAUAGAGUUUUGGAGAGAAGUGAAGAAACUAAUCUUGUCUUGAAUUGGGAGAAGUGCCACUUUAUGGUUGAUGAAGGUAUUGUCUUGGGGCAUAAAAUUUCUGAAAGAGGUAUUGAAGUUGAUAAAGCUAAAGUUGAUGCUAUUGAAAAGAUGUCGUCUCCUAAGGACAUUAAAGGUAUAAGAAGUUUCCUUGGUCAUGCUGGUUUUUAUAGGAGGUUCAUUAAAGACUUCUCAAAAAUUUCUAGGCCUCUGACUAAUCUCUUACAUAAGGAUGUUCCUUUUGUCUUUGAUGAUGAUUGUGUAGAAGCAUUUGAAAUACUUAAGAAACCCUUGGUUUCUGCACCUACUGUUCAGCCACCUGAUUGGAAUUUACCCUUUGAAAUUAUGUGUGAGGCUAGCGAUUAUGCUGUAGGUGCUGUUCUAGGACAAAGAGUUGAUAAGAAAUUAAAUGUUAUCCAAUAUGCUAGUAAAACUCUAGACAGUGCCCAAAGAAAUUAUGCUACUACUGAAAAAUAAUUUUUGGCAGUUGUAUUUGUUUGUGAUAAGUUCAGUAUAUUGUUGAUUCCAAAAUAAAUGUUCACACUGAUUAUGCUGAUAUUAAAUAUCUUAUGGAAAAGAAAGAUGCUAAACCUAGACUUAUUAGAUGGGUUCUAUUGCUACAAGAAUUUGAUUUGCAUAUUAUUGAUAGAAAGGGAGCUGAGAACCCCAUUGCAGACAACUUAUCUAGGUUAUAGAAUGUUCUUGAUGACCCACUACCUAUUGAUGAUAGCUUUCCUAAUGAACAAUUAGAUGUCGUAAAUGCUUCUCAUACUGCUCCAUGGUAUGCUGAUUAUGCUAAUUACAUUGUUGCUAAAUUUAUACCACCUAGUUUCACAUACCAGCAAAAGAAAAAGUUUUUCUAUGAUUUAAGACAUUACUUCUGGGAUGACCCACACCUUUAUAAAGAAGGAGUAGAUGGUGUUAUUAGACGUUGUGUCCCUGAGCAAGAACAGGAGCAGAUCCUACGCAAGUGUCUCUCCGAGGCUUAUGCAGGACACCACGCUGGAGAUAGAACUGCACAUAAGGUAUUGCAAUCCGGUUUUUAUUGGCCUACUCUUUUCAAAGAUGCCCAUAAUUUUGUCUUGUCUUGUGAUAAAUGUCAAAGAAUUGGUAAUAUUAGUAGACGUCAAGAAAUGCCUAUGAACUAUUCACUUGUUAUUGAACCAUUUAAUGUUUGGGGCUUUGAUUAUAUGGGACCGUUUCCUUCCUCUAAUGGGUAUACACAUAUUUUAGUUGCUGUUGAUUAUGUUACUAAGUGGAUAGAAGCUAUUCCAACUAGUAGUGCUAAUCAUAACACCUCUAUUAAGAAACUUAAUGACUGAUGGUGGUUCACAUUUUAUUCAUGGUGCUUUUCAUAAAAUGCUUGCUAAGUAUGAUGUUAAUCAUAGAAUUGCAUCUCCAUACCACCCACAAUCUAGUGGUCAAGUAGAACUGAGUACUAGAGAGAUUAAAUUAAUUUUGCAAAAGACUGUUAAUAGAUCUAGAAAGAAUUGGUCCAAGAAACUUGAUGAUGCAUUAUCGGCCUAUAGAACUGCAUAUAAAAAUCCUAUGGGUAUGUCUCCGUAUAAAAUGAUUUAUGGAAAAGCAUGUCACUUAGCUCUCGAACUAGAACAUAAGGCAUAUUGGGCCAUUAAAGAGCUCAAUUAUGAUUUCAAACUUUCCGGUGAGAAGAGACUAUUUGACAUUAGCUCACUUGAUGAGUGGAGAACCCAUGCCUAUGAGAAUGCCAAACUGUUUAAAGAAAAAGUUAAAAGAUGGCAUGACAAAAGGAUACAAAAGCGUGGGUUUAAUGCAGGUGAUUAUGUUCUGUGAUACAACUCGUUUAAGAUUUUUUGCAGGAAAACUCCUCUCUAAAUGGGAAUGUCCUUACGUUAUCGAGGAGGUUUAUUGUUCCGGUGCCAUAAAAAUCAAUGAUGUCUACUACAAAACCUUCUUCUUGUAGAUGUUGUUGGGCCUCCAAGUGCAAAGGUUUGUAGGAUAGUAGCAAAUUUCCCUCAAGUGGAUGACCUAUGGUUUAUCAAUCCGUAGGAGGCAUAGGAUGAAGAUGGUCUCCCUCAAGCAACCCUACAACCAAAUAACAAAGAGUCUCUUGUGUCCCCAACACACCCAAUACAAUGGUAAAUUGUAUAGGUGCACUAGUUCGGCGAAGAGAUGGUGAAACAAGUGGUAUAUGGAUAGUAGAUAAAGGUAUUUGUAAUCUGGAAUUAUAAAAACAUAAAGGUAGCAAGUGAGAAAAGUGAGCGUAAACGGUAUUGCAAUGUGUUGAAACAAGGCCUAGGGUUCAUACUUUCGCUAGUGUAAGUUCUCUCAACAAUGAUAACAUAAUUGGAUCACAUAACUAUCCCUCAACAUGCAACAAGGAGUCAAUCCAAAGUCACUAAUAGCAGAGAACAAAUGAAGAGAUUAUGGUAGGGUACGAAACCACCUCAAAGUUAUUCUUUCCAAUCAAUCCGUUGGGCUAUUCCUAUAAGUGUCACAAACAGCCCUAUAGUUCGUACUAGAAUAACACCUUAAGACACAAAUCAACCAAAACCCUAAUGUCACCUAGAUACUCCAAUGUCACCUCAAGUAUCUGUGGGUAUGAUUAUACGAUAUGCAUCACACAAUCUUAGAUUCAUCUAUUCAACCAACACAUAGAACCUCAAAGAGUGCCCCAAAGUUUAUACCGGAGAAUCACGACGAGAACGUGUUCCAACCCCUAUAUGCAUAGGUUCAUGGGUGAAACCCGCAAGUUGAUCACCAAAACAUACAUCAAGUAAAUCACGUGAUAUCCCAUUGUCACCACAGAUACGCACGGCAAGACAUACAUCAAGUGUUCUCAAAUUUUUAAAGACUCAAUCCGAUAAGAUAACUUCAAAGGGGAAACUCAAUUCAUUACAAGAGAGAAGAGCGGGAGGAGAAACAUAAGAUCCAACUAUAAUAGCAAAGCUCGCGAUACAUCAAGAUCGUGCCAAAUCAAGAACACGAGAGAGAGAGAGAGAGAGAUCAAACACAUAGCUACUGGUACAUACCCUCAGCCCCGAGGGAGAACUACUCCCUCCUCGUCAUGGAGAGCACCGGGAUGAUGAAGAUGGCCACCGGAGAGGGAUUCCCCCUCCAGCAGGGUGCCGGAAUGGGUCUAGAUUGGCUUUCGGUGGCUACGGAGGCUUCUGGCGGCGGAACUCCCGAUCUAUUGUGCUCACGGAUGUUUUUAGGGUAUAUGGAGAUAUAUAGGCGGAAGAAGUACGUCAGGGGGGCCACGAGGGGCCCACGAGGGUGGAGGGCGCGCCCCCUGCCUCGUGGCAUCCUCACAGGUCCCCCGACAUGCACUCCAAGUCUUCUGGGCUUCUUUCCUUCCAAAAAUGAGUUCCGUGAAGUUUCAGGUCAAUUGGACUCCAUUUGAUUUUCCUUUUCUUCGAAACCCUAAAAUAGGGUAAAAACAGAAACUGGCACUAGGCUCUGGGUUAAUAGGUUAGUCCCAAAAAUGAUAUAAAAGUGUAUAAUAAAGCCCAUAAACAUUCAAAACAGUAGAUAAUAUAGCAUGGAGCAAUCAAAAAUUAUAGAUACAUCGGAGACGUAUCAAUCAACAACUUCGAAGGCACAAAUACAAAGGUGGUGAACGGUCAAAGAAUCAAACAUUAUAUCUCAGGUAAUCCUAUAAAUGUUGAAACCAAUGUUAUUGAUAUCGUAACCCUGGAGGAGUACAUAAGGGACACUUUCCAUAAUGUUUCAGACUCCGAAAAGGAAUAGGUAUGUGGUACGGUAAGUAAACCGACUCCAAAACAGUUCUAAUAGCAUUUUUUCUCCGUUUUGGAAUAUUUAAGAAAAUAGGAAAAUAAGAAGUAUUCCGGAAAGGACACGAAGCAUCCACGAGGGUGGAGGGCGCGCCCCCUGCCUCGUGGGCACCUCGUGUGCCCUCCGAACUCCGUUUUCUUGCAUGAUACUUCUUUUGGUCGGUAAAAAUUCAUUAUAUAAUCUCCCAAAGGUUUUGACCACCGUACCACGCAAAUAUCUCCUGCUUUUGUUUCGACAUGUUUUUCUAACAGAUCUAGGUCACCAUGACGUCUUCAAGCGCCCCCAAGGACAAGUUUUUCGAGAAGGUCAUCAACCCCUACCUCGCAGAGGUGCUGCUACACCCUCAAACCAUUGAGAUGCGUGAGGGGGUGCUGCACAUCCGUGAUGUUGAGGGACAAAGGAGGACCGGAAGCGUGGAGACAAGACUCGAAGCAAUGGAGCAACAACUUUUCAAGUGCUAGGGGAUGGUGGAACACAGACUCAACGCAAACCACAUGAUGAUCGCGGAGUUCACCAACAACCACAAGCUAGAUGCAAGAACAUUGGGGAGACCAUCUUCAAGCUUCACGAGGAAAUCGAGCACCUCCAAGCCCAGAUCUAUGACCUGUAAAACCAAAACUGUGAUUAUGAAUAUAGAUUCAAGAGGAUGAGUUUGGCUACAGAUUUGAGGAUCUCGGAGACUCGAUCAUCCUUCUAUGAUGGCGAGCCUAUGCCUUGGAAGAUGGACGACAAGCCUACAUCAUCAACAACUCCACAUCACCAUCUUCGAAGAAAGAGGCAUAAAUACAUGGGUAUGGGCACUACCCUUGGCAACUGCCAAGCUUGGGGGAGGUGCCCGGUUAUCGUAUCAACAUCAGACUUCUAUCGUUACCGUUUUUAUUAGUUUGAUCCUUUUGGUUAUAUCUUUAUCUAGUAGAAUAAAGUUUAGUAUGGUCUAGCUUUGAGUUUUGUGUUGAUCCUUAUCUAUGUAAUCGAGUCCGUAAGCUAUAUAUAAUAAAGGUUAGUCUUGAGUCGAGGGCUUAGUUAUCUUGCUAUGAUCUUGAGGGAAUAAAAGAAAAGAGAAAGAAUAAAAAGAAAUAAAGAGAUCAUAUUGAUCCUAUGGAGAGUAAUGACUUCACAUAUAAAGAGUAUGAUGAAUAAAAGUUGUUGAGAGCUGACAAACAUAGUUUUGGUCAUCGUUGCAAUAAAUAAGAAGUAAUAAAGAAAGCGAGGUUUUCACAUAUAAAUAUACUAUCUUGGACAUCUUUUAUGAUUGUGAGCACUCAUUAAAAUAUGACAUGCUAAAAAGUUGAAGUUGGACAAGGAAGACAACGUAAUGGGUUAUGUUUCCUUAUAUCCGAAAUAAAUUAUAUUGUCAUGAAUCAUGCAACAUGCUGAGCUUGCCUUUUGCCCUCAUGCUAGCCAAAUUCUUUGCACCAAGUAGAGAUACUACUUGUGCUUCCAAAUAUCCUUAAACCCAGUUUUUCCAUGAGAGUCCACCAUAUCUACCUAUGGAUUGAAUAAGAUCCUUCAAGUAUGUCGUCGGUGUUGCAAGCAAUAAAAAUUGCUCUUUAAAUAUGUAUGAUCUAUUAAUGUGAAGAAAAUAAGCUUUAUACGAGCUUGUGACAUGGAAGAAACAAAAGCGACGGACUGCAUAAUAAAGGUCUCUAUCACAAGUGGCAAUAUAAAGUGACGUUCUUUUGCAUUAAGAUUUUGUGCAUCCAACCAUAAAAGCACAUGACAACCUCUGCUUCCCUCUGCGAAGGGCCUAUCUUUUAUUUUUGUCUUAUAACUUAUGCAAAAGUCAUGGUGAUCUUCACCUUUCCCUUUUUACACUUUAUCCUUUGGCAAGCACUAUAUGUUGGAGAGAUCCGGAUAUAUAUAUAUAUAUAUAUAUAUAUAUAUAUAUAUAUAUAUCCACUCGGAUGUAGGUUAUCAUAAACUAUUAUUGUUGACAUUACCCUUGAGGUAAAAGGUUGGGAGGCAAAACUGUAAGCCCCUAUCUUUCUCUAUGUCCGAUUAAAACUUCAUACCCAUAAGUAUUGCGUGAGUGUUAGCAAUUGUGAAAGACUAAAUGAUGGUUGAGUAUGUGGACUUGCUGAAAAGCUCUUAUAUUGACUCUUUCCGAUGUUAUGAUAAAUUGCAAUUGCUUCAAUGACUAAGAUCAUAGUUUGUUAGUUUUCAAUGAAGUUUCUGAUUCAUAGUUGACAUUGUGAAUAGAUUGUUACUUUAGAUAAGAAAUCGUAUGACAAUUGGUAACUAUAUAUAUAUAUAUAUAUAUAUAUAUAUGUUGCUAUUCUAAGAAUGAUCAUGAUGCCCUCAUGUCCGUAUUCUAUUUUAUCGAGAACUCUAUCUCUAAACAUGUGGACAUAUUUUUCGAUAUCGGCUUCCGCUUGAGGACAAGCGAGGUCUAAGCUUGGGGGAGUUGAUACAUCCAUUUUGCAUCAUGCUUUUAUAUCGAUAUUUAUUGCAUUAUGGGCUGUUAUUACACAUUAUGUCACAAUACUUAUGCCUUUUCUCUCUUAUUUUACAAGGUUUAUAUGAAGAGGGAGAAUGCCGACAGCUGGAAUUCUGGGCUGGAAAAGGAGCAAAUAUUAGAGACCUAUUCUGCACAACUCCAAAAGUCCUGAAACUCCACGAAAGUCAGUUUUGGAAUAUAUAAAAAAUAUUGGGCGAAGGAAGUAGCAGAGGGGGCCACCCACCGCCCACGAGGGUGGAGGGCACGCCCUACCCCCCUAGGCGCGCCCCUGCCUCGUGGGCCACCUGGAAGCCCCCUGAUGCCCAUCUUCUGGUAUAAGGUGUCUUUUGCCCUAGGAAAAAUCAGAAGGAAGCUUUCGGGAUGAAGCGCCACCAUCUCGAGGCGGAACCAAUCUAGGGCUCCGAUGGAGCUGUUCUGCCGGGGAAACAUCCCCACGGGAGGGGGAAAUCGUCACCAUCGAUCCUCUCAUCGGGAGGGGGUCAAUCUCCAUCAACAUCUUCACCAGCACCAUCUCCUAUCAAACCCUAGUUAAUCUCUUGUACCCGAUCUUUGUCUCAAAACCUCAGAUUGGUACCUGUGGGUUGCUAGUAGUGUUGAUUACUCCUUGGAGUUGAUGCUAGUUGGUUUAUUCGGUGGAAGAUUAUAUGUUCAGAUCCUUUAUGCACAUUAAUACCCCGCUGAUUAUGAACAUGAAUAUGAUUUAUGAGUAGUUACGUAUGUUCCUGGGGACAUGGGAGAAGUCUUGUUAUAAGUAGUCAUGUGAAUUUGGUAUUUGUUCGAUAUUUUGAUGAGAUGUAUGUUGUCUUUCCUCUAGUGGUGUUAUGUGAACGUCAAAUAAAUGACACUUCACCAUUGUUUGGGCCUAGGGGAAGGCAUUGGGAAGUAAUAAGUAGAUGAUGUGUUGCUAGAGUGAUAGAAUCUUAAACCCUAGUUUAUGCGUUGCUUCGUAAGGGGCUGAUUUGGAUCCAUAUAUUUCAUGAUAUGGUUAGGUUUACCUUAAUUCUUCUUUCAUAGUUGCGGAUGCUUGCGAGGGGGGUUAAUCAUAAGUGGGAUGCUUGUCCAAGGAAGUGCAAUACCCAAGCACCGGUCCACCCACAUAUCAAAUUAUCAAAAUAACGAACGUGAAUCAUAUGAGCAUGAUGAAAACUAGCUUGACGAUAAUUUCCAUGUGUCAUCUGGGGCGCUUUCCUUUAUAUAAGAGUUUGUCCAGGCUUGUCCUUUGCUACAAAAAGGAUUGGGCCACCUUGCUGCAUGAUACGUCUCCGUCGUAUCAACAAUUUUUUAUUGUUCCAUGCCAAUAUUCUACAACUUUCAUAUACUUUUGGCAACUUUUUAUACUAUUUUUGGGACUAACAUAUUGAUCCAGUGCCCAGUGCCAGUUCAUGUUUGUUGCAUGUUUUUUGUUUCGCAGAAAAUCCAUAUCAAACGGAGUCCAAAUGGGAUAAACACUGACGGAGAUUUUUUUGGAAUAUAUGCGAUAUUUGGGAAGAAGAAUCAACGCGGGACGAUGCCCGAGGGGGCCACGAGGCAGGGGGUUGCGCCUCAGGGGGUCAGGCGCUCCCUGGGCCCUUGUGGCCAUCCUGUAAGGCUGUUGGUUCCCUUCUUUCGCCGCAAGAAAGCUAAUAUCCGCAUAAAAAUCGUGUUCAAAAUUCUGCCCAAUCGGAGUUACGGAUCUCCAGGAAUUUAAGAAACAGUGUGAUAACCCACAAGUAUAGGGGAUCGCAACAGUGUUUGAGGGUAGAGUAUUCAACCCAAAUUUAUUGAUUCGACACAAGGGGAGCCAAAGAAUAUUCUCAAGUAUUAGCAACUGAGUUGUCAAUUCAACCACACCUGGAUAACUUAAUAUCUGCAGCAAAGUAUUUAGUAGCAAAGUAAUAUGAUAGUGGUGGUAACGGUAGCAAAAGGUAAUGAUAACAAAAGUAAUGUUUUUGGUAUUUUGCAGUGAUGAUAAUAAUAGCAACGGAAAAGUAAAUAAGUGAGGAACAAUAUAUGGAAAGCUCGUAGGCAAUGGAUCGGUGAUAGAGAAUUAUGCCGGAUGUGGUUCACCAUGUAACAGUCAUAACCUAGGGUGACACAGAACUAGCUCCAAUUCAUCAAUGUAAUGUAGGCACGUAUUCCGAAUAUAGUCAUACGUGCUUAUGGAAAAGAACUUGGAUGACAUCUUUUGUCCUACCCUCCCGUGGCAGUGGGGUCCUAAUGGAAACUAAGGGGUAUUAAGGCCUCCUUUUAAUAGAGUACCGGACCAAAGCAUUAACACAUAGUGAAUGCAUGAACUCCUCAAACUACGGUCAUCACCGGGAGUGGUCCCGAUUAUUGUCACUUCGGGGUUGCCAGAUCAUAACACAUAGUAGGUGACUAUAGACUUGCAAGAUAGGAUCAAGAACUCUCAUAUAUUGAUGAAAACAUAAUAGGUUCAGAUCUGAAAUCAUGGCACUCGGGACCUAGUGACAAGCAUUAAGCACGGCAAAGUCAUAUCAACAUCAAUCUCAGAACAUAGUGGAUACUAGGGAUCAAACCCUAACAAAACUAACUCGAUUACAUGAUAAAUCUCAUCCAACCCAUCACCGUCCAGCAAGCCUAUGAUGAAAUUACUCACACACGGCGGUGAGCAUCAUGAAAUUGGUGAUGGAGGAGGGUUGAUGAUGACGAUGGCGACGGAUUCCCCUCUCCGGAGCCCCGAAUGGACUCCACAUCAGCGCUCCCGAGAGGUUUAGGGCUUGGCGGCGGCUCUAUAUCGUAAAACACGAUGAAUCCUUCUCUCUGAUUUUUUUCUCCCCGAAAGCAAAUAUAUAGAGUUGGAGUUGAGGUCGGAGGAGCUCCAAGGGGCCCACGAGGUAGGGGGCGCGCCCCCCACCCUCGUGGCUAGGGUGUGGGCCCCCUGGUCUUCAUCUUUUUCAAGGAUUUUUUUAUUAUUUCCAAAAAGACGUCCCGUGAAGUUUCAGGUCAUUCCGAGAACUUUUGUUUCUGCACAUAAAUAACACCAUGGCAAUUCUGCUGAAAACAGCGUCAGUCCAGGUUAGUUCCAUUCAAAGUAUGCAAGUUAGAGUGCAAAACAAGGGCAAAAGUGUUUGGAAAAGUAGAUACGACGGAGACGUAUCAACUCCCCCAAGCUUAAACCUUUGCUUGUCCUCAAGCAAUUUAGUUGACAAAUUGAAAGUGAUAAAGAAAAACUCUUACAAACUCUGUUUGCUCUUGGUGUUGCAAAUAUGUAAAGCCAGCAUUCAAGUUUUCAGCAAAGAUUAUAAACUAACUAUAUUCACAAUAACGCUUAGGUCUCAUAUUUACUCAUAUCAAUGGCAUAAUCAACUAGCGAGCAAUAAUAAUAAAUCUCGGAUGACGACACUUUCUCAAAACAAUCAUAAUAUGAUAUAACAAGACGGUAUCUCGCUAGCCCUUUCUGAGACCGCAAAACAUAAAUGCAGAGCACCUUCAAAGAUCAAGGACUGACUAGACAUUGUAAUUCAUGGUAAAAGAGAUCCAGUCAAGUCAUACUCAACAUAAACUAACAGUAAUGAAUGCAAAUGAUAGUGGUGCUCUCCAACUGGUGCUUUUUAAUAAGAGGAUGAUGACUCAACAUAAAAGUAAAUAGAUAGGCCCUUCGCAGAGGGAAGUAUGGAUUUGUAGAGGUGCCAGAGCUCGGUUUUGAAAUAGAGGUGAAUAAUAUUUUGAGCUGUAUACUUCCAUUGUCAACAUAACAACUAAGAGAUGGUGAUAUCUUCCAUGCUACACACAUUAUAGGCGGUUCCCAAACAGAAUGGUAAAUUUUAUACUCCCCCUCCACCAACAAGCAUCAAUCCAUGGCUUGCUCGAAACAACGAGUGCCUCCAACUAACAAGAGUCCCAGGGGGAGUUUUGUUUGCAAUUAUUUUGAUUUAGCUUGCAUAAAGCAUGGGACUGGGCAUCCUGGUGACCAGCCACUUUCUCGUCAGUGAGGAGUGGAGUCCACUCCUCUUGAGAAUAACCCUCCUAACAUGGAAGAUACAGACAACCCUAGUUGAUACAUGAGCUAUUCGAUCAUACAAAACAUGAUAUUUAUUUGAAGGUUUAGAGUUUGGCACAUACAAAUUUACUUGGAACGGCAGGUAGAUACCGUAUAUAGGUAGGUAUGGUGGACUCAUAUGGAAUAACUUUGGGGUUUAAGGGGUUGGAUGCACAAGCAGUAUUCCCACUUAGUAUAGGUGAAGGCUAGAAAAAGAUUGGGAAGCGACCAGCUAGAGAGCGACAACACUCAUGAACAUGCAUUAAAAUUAAUCAACACCGAAUGCAAGCAUGAGUAGGAUAUAAUGCACCAUGAACAUAAAUAUCGUAGAGGCUAUGUUGAUUUUGUUUCAACUACAUGCGUGAACAUGUGCCAAGUCAAGCCACUCGAAUCGUUCAAAAGAGGAUACCACCCUAUCAUACCACAUCACAACCAUUUUAAUAGCAUGUUGGCACGCAAGGUAAACCAUUAUAAGCUCCUAGCUAAUUAAGCAUGGCACAAGAAACUAUGAUCUCUAGUUGUCAUUGCAAACAUGUUUAUUCAUAAUAGGGUGAAUCAGGAACGAUGAACUAAUCAUAUUUACAAAAACAAGAGAGGUCGAGUUCAUACCAGCUUUUCUCAUCUCAGUCAGUCCAUCAUAUAUUGUCAUAAUUGCCUUUCACUUGCAUGACCGAACGAUGUGAAUAAUAUUAAGAGUGCACGUGCAUUGAACUAAGCUAGAAUCUACGAGCAUUCAAUAAACAGGAGAAGACAAGGCAAUAUGGGUUCUUGGUUAAAUCAACAAUAAUGCAUAUAAGAGCCACUUCAACAAUUUAAUCAUGGUAUUCUCCUAUCGACCCCCAAAGAAAAGAAAAGAAAUAAAACUAUUUACACGGGAAAGCUCCCAACAAGCAAAAGAAGAACAUGAAAUAUUUUUGGGUUUUCUUUUUAAUUACUACUACAAGCAUGGAAAUUAAAACUAGCUAAAAGCUACAACUAACUUUUUUGGUUUUUCUAAAGGUUUAUUAAACACACAAGAAGAAAGCAUAAAAAAGGAAAAUAAACUAGCAUGUAUAUUGCAAUGAAAAAGUAUGAGCACCGACACCUAACAAUGAGUGUGUGAACAUAAAUGUAAUGUCGGUGAGAAAUACGUACUCCCCCAAGCUUAGGCUUUUGGCCUAAGUUGGUCUAUGGCCAUGGUUGGCCUGGCGGAUAUCCAUAGUAAUAGUUGGGGUCGUACUGCGAUGCAGUAGUCAUUGCAUCGUGGGCUGCAGCUUGGAGGCGAGCUAUCUCAGCUCUCCUCUUAUACUCUUCCGCCUCCUCUCUAGUUAUAAAAUAUCUCCUUUUUGCCUGAAAGUCAAAGAAAGUAGAAGCAGGGAGAGUGACAUGAUAGGUGCGUCGUCUAUCAAAGAUUAGUCGGUACUGGAGGAACUGGUCGUCCUCUCAACAAACUGAUGACGAACCAUAUCCUCAUAAUCCAAAUAAGCAGGAGGCAACUCAAUAUCAUCUUCACGUAUGGUUAUACCAAGAAAAUUAGCUAUGCCGGUUGCAUAAAUUCCACCAAAGAAAUCUCCAUUAAAUCUAUUAAGAUGCAACCUAUGUGCAACAAUGGCUCCCAAAUUAUAAGAUUUAUCUCCUAACACAGCACUCCUAAGAAUACUGAGGUCAGGGACACACAUGUGACAUGCCUCAUCUUUACCAUUAAUGCAUCUACCUAUGAAGAGAGCAAAAUAAUGUAUAGCAGGAAAGUGAAUGCUCCCUAUGGUAGCUUGUGUUAUAUCUCUAGAUUCCCCCACAGUUAUACUAGAAAGAAAAUCUCUAAAUUCAGAUUUGCGAGGUUCCCUGACACUACCCCAUUGUGGAAGUUUGCAAGCAGUCGUAAAAUCCUCUGAGUCCAUCGUAUAAGAUUUUUCAUAAAGAUCAAACAGGACAGUUGGAGAAUUGCGUGAAGAUGAAAAUUCAAACCUCCUCACAAAGGAACUAGUGAGAUAGUGGUACUGGCGGCAGUUUUCCUCCUCGAAGCUCACAAGAUCAGCGUUACGCAAAUAUGCGUUAAAUUCUUCCUUGAUUUCCGCUUGAUCCAUAAAGUCCUCUGAAGGCCAUUCACAGGGCCGCACUGGAGCGUCCCUUGGUGGCUCAUCAUCAGCAUCACGCAUUGCAAGCCUGGGCUCUUGUUUCCUUGAAGGGCCACCUUGGUACAUUUUCCUAAACAUAUUUCUUCCUCUGAAAAGUUUCUGAAAUUAUUAGUAACUUCAAAAAUAAAAGUGAACCAAAGUCAACAAUAUUGAUAGCAACUACUCCUACAAGUGCCUAGAGCCUACAUCGUGCAUCAAGACUACUUGGAACCACAUAAAUUUGACAUGCAAGAUCAAGAACAGGGUCACCUAGGCAGCACAAAUUUGCAAUGAAUAAAGCACUUGAACAAAAACUAAUUGGACCAAUGGAGGAGUCACAUACUGCUACCUCUUGAGCAUUGCGUUGGUUUUCCCCGAAGAGGAAGGGAUGAUGCAGCAAAGUAGCGUAAGUAUUUCCCUCCGUUUUUGAGAACCAAGGUAUCAAUCCAGUAGGAGGCUACGCGCGAGUCCCUCGUACCUGCACAAAACAAAUAAAUCCUCGCAACCAACGCAAAUAGGGGUUGUCAAUCCCUAUAAGUCCACUUACGAGAGUGAGAUCUGAUAGAUAUGAUAAGAUAAUAUUUUUGGUAUUUUUAUGAUAAAUAUGCAAAGUAAAGUAAAGGCAAAGUAAAUAGCAAAGGAAAUAACUAAGUAGUAGGAGAUCAAUAUGAUAAAGAUAGACCAGGGGGCCAUAGGUUUCACUAGUGGCUUCUCUCAAGAGCAUAAGUAUUCUACAGUGGGUGAACAAAUUACUGUUGAGCAAUUGACAGAAAUGAGCAUAGUUAUGAGAAUAUCUAGGUAUGAUCAUGUAUAUAGGCAUCACGUCCGAGACAAGUAGACCGACUCCUGCCUGCAUCUACUACUAUUACUCCACUCAUCGACCACAAUCCAGCAUGCAUCUAGAGUAUUAAGUUAAAAACAGAGUAACGCCUUAAGCAAGAUGACAUGAUGUAGAGGGAUAGACUCAUGCAAUAUGAAGAAAACCCCAUCUUGUUAUCCUCGAUGGCAACAAUACAAUACGUGCCUUGCUGCCUCUACUAUCACUGGGAAAGGACACCGCAAGAUUGAACCCAAAGCUAAGCACUUCUCCCAUUCCAAGAAAGAUCAAUCUAGUAGGCCAAACCAAACUGAUAAUUCGAAGAGACUUGCAAAGAUAACCAAUCAUACAUAAAAGAAUUCAAAGAAGAUUCAAAUAUUAUUCAUAGAUAGACUUGAUCAUAAACCCACAAUUCAUCGGUCUCAACAAACACACCACAAAAAGAAGAUUACAUCGAAUAGUUCUCCACACGAGAGGGGGAGAACAUUGUAUUGAGAUCCAAAAAGAGAGAAGAAGCCAUCUAGCUACUAACUAUGGACCUGUAGGUCUGAGGUAAACUACUCACACUUUAUCGGAGAGGCUAUGGUGUUGAUGUAGAAGCCCCCCGUGAUCGAUGCCCCCUCCGGCGGAGCUCCGGAACAAGCCCCAAGAUGGGAUCUCGUGGAUACAGAAAGUUGCGGUGGUGGAAUUAGGUUUUUGGCUCCGUAUCUGAUCGUUUGGGGUAUGUAGGUAUAUAUAGGAGGAAGGAGUAUGUCGGUGGAGCAACAGGGGGCCCACGAGGGUGGAGGGCGCCCCUGGUGGGGGUGGGCGUGCCCCCCUACCUCGUGGCCUCCUCUUUUCUUUCUUGACGUAGGGUCCAAGUCUCCCGGGUCUUGUUCGUUGAGAAAAUCACGUUCCCGAAGGUUUCAUUCCGUUUGGACUCCGUUUGAUAUUCCUUUUCUUCGAAACCCUAAAACAGGCAAAAAAGAGCAAUUCUGGUCUGGGCCUUCGGUUAAUAGGUUAGUUCCAAAAAUAAUAUAAAAGUGGAUAAUAAAGCCCAAUAAUGUCCAAAACAGUAGAUAAUAUAGCAUGGAGCAAUCAAAAAUUAUAGAUACAUUGGAGACGUAUCAAGCAUCCCCAAGCUUAAUUCUUGCUCGUCCUCGAGUAGGUAAAUGAUAAAAACAGAAUUUUUGAUGUGGGGUGCUACUUGGGAUAAUUUUAAUGUAAUUCUUAUUAAUUGUGGUAUGAAUAUUCAGAUCCGAAAGAUUCAAGACAAAAUUUUAAUAUUGACAUAAGAACAAUAAUACUUCAAGCAUACUAACAAAGCAAUUAUGUCUUCUCAAAAUAACAUGGCUAAAGAAAGUUAUCCCUACAAAAUCAUAUAGUCUGGCUAUGCUCUAUCUUCACUACACAAAAUAUUUAAAUCAUGCACAACCCCGAUGACAAGCCAAGCAAUUGUUUCAUACUUUUGACAUUCUCAAAACGUUUUCAAUCUUCACGCAAUACAUGAGCGUGAGCCAUGGAUAUAGUACUAUAGGUGGAAUAGAGUGGUGGUUGUGGAGAAGACAAAAAGGGAGAAGAUAGUCUCACAUCAACUAGGCGUAUCAACGGGCUAUGGAGAUGCCCAUCAAUAGAUAUCAAUGUGAGUGAGUAGGGAUUGCCAUGCAACGGAUGCACUAGAGCUAUAAGUAUAUGAAAGCUCAAAAAGAAACUAAGUGGGUGUGCAUCCAACUUGCUUGCUCAUGAAGACCUAGGGCAUUUUGAGGAAGCCCAUCAUUGGAAUAUACAAGCCAAGUUCUAUAAUGAAAGAUUCCCACUAGUAUAUGAAAGUGAUAACAUGAGAGACUCUCUACUAUGAAGAUCAUGGUGCUACUUUGAAGCACAAGUGUGGUAAAAGGAUAGUAACAUUGUCCAUUCUCUCUUUUUCUCUCAUUUUUUUAUUUGGGCAUUUUCUCUUUUUAUGGCCUCUUUUCUUUCUCUUUUAUUUAUUUCUUUAUUUUUCGUCCGGAGUCUCAUCCCGACUUGUGGGGGAAUCAUAGUCUCCAUCAUCCUUUCCUCACUAGGACAAUGCUCUAAUAAUGAUGAUCAUCACACUUUUAUUUUUCUUACAACUCAACAAUUACAACAAUGAUGAUCAUCACUGGGACAAUGCUCUAAUAAUGAAGCACAAGUGAGGGCGCGCCUGGUGGGGGUGGGCGCGCCCCCUACCUCGUGGCCUCCUCUUUUCUUUCUUAAUGUAGGGUCCAAGUCUCCCUGGUCUUGUUCGUUGAUAAAAUCACGUUCCCGAAGGUUUCAUUCCGUUUGGACUCCGUUUGAUAUUCCUUUUCUUCGAAACCCUAAAACAGGCAAAAAAAACAGCAAUUCCGGGGUGGGCCUCUGGUUAAUAGGUUAGUCCCAAAAAUAAUAUAAAAGUGGAUAAUAAAGCCCAAUAAUGUCCAAAACAGUCAAUAAUAUAGCAUGGAGCAAUCAAAAAUUAUAGAUACAUUGGAGACGUAUCACAUACCAAGGAACAAUCCCCCAAGCAAUUUUGUGAGAGGUGCUUUGAGCAAGGAGAUCGAAAAUGGCAGUAAAAUGAGCUUGGACUCAGGUUUGAACUAGAUAAUCGUGUUUGUGGGAGGAAGAAGGAGUGUGUGGGUGUAGGAAUAAGUGGAGGAGGGCCACCAUGGGCCCACGAGGCAGCGGGGCGCGCCCAGGGGGGUAGGGCGUGCCCUCCACCCUCGUGGCCAGGUGGAUGCCCCCCAGGGCUGUGUUCUCAGGGCCAACUAUUCUCAAAUAUUCCAGAAAAAAUCAUAUUUAAAUUUCAGGGCAUUUGGAGAACUUUUAUUUUCGGGGUAUUUUUAUAUUGCACGGAUAAAUCGGAUAACAGACGGAAAAUACUUAUUUUUAUCUUAUUUAAUAUAAAUAACAGAAAGUAAAAGGAGGGUACAGAGAGUUGUGUUUUCUAACUUCAUCCAUCUCAUGAUCAUCAAAAGAAAUCCAUUAACAAGGUUGAUCAAGUCUUGUUAACAAACUCAUUUCGAAUAACAUGGAACCGGAGAAUUUUCGAAUAACACUAGGUUACCUCAACGGGGAUAUGCACAUCCCCAACAAUAAGAAUAUCAUAUUUCUUCUUGACAGUAGGAAGAAGAAAUUCAAAACCUCCCAAAAUAAUUGAUGGAAUUUUUCCGAUAGAAUUGAUACUAUGGACUUGAGGUUGUUUCCUCGGAAAGUGUACCGUAUGCUCAUUACCAUUAACAUGAAAAGUGACAUUGCCUUUGGUGCAAUCAAUAACAGCCCCUGCAGUAUUCAAAAAAGGUCUUCCAAGAAUAAUAGACAUACUAUCGUCAUCGGGAAUAUCAAGAAUAACAAAGUCUGUUAAAAUAGUAACGUUUGCAACCACAACAGGCACAUCCUCACAAAUACCGACAGGUAUAGCAGUUGAUUUAUCAGCCAUUUGCAAAGAUAUUUCAGUAGGUGUCAACUUAUUCAAAUCAAGUCUAUGAUAUAAAGAGAGAGGCAUAACACUAACACCGGCUCCAAGAUCACAUAAAGAAGUUUUAACAUAGUUUCUUUUAAUGGAGCAUGGUAUAGUGGGUACUCCUGGAUCCCCAAGUUUCUUUGGUAUUCUACCCUUAAAAGUAUAAUUAGCAAGCAUGGUGGAAAUUUCAGCUUCCGGUAUCUUUCUUUUAUUAGUAACAAUUUCUUUCAUAUACUUAGCAUAAGGAUUCAUUUUGAGCAUAUCAGUUAAUCGCAUACGCAAAAAGAUAGGUCUAAUCAUUUCAGCAAAGCGCUCAAAAUCCCCAUCAUCCUUUUUCUUGGAUGGUUUGGGAGGAAAAGGCAUGGGUUUCUGAACCCAAGGCUCUCUUUCCUUUCCGUGUUUCCUAGCAACAAAGUCUUCCUUAUCAUAACGUUGAUUCUUUGAUUGUGGGUUAUCAAGAUCAACAGCAGGUUCAAUUUCUAUAUCAUUAUCAUUACUAGGUUGAGCAUCAUCAUGAACAUUAUCAUUAAUAUUAUCACUAGUUUCAGGUUCAUUACCAGAUUGUGUUUCAGCAUCAGAAAUAGAAAUAACAUUUGGAUUCUCAGGUGUUUCAGCGAUAGGUUCACUAGGAGCAUGCAAAGUCCUAUCAUUUUUCUUUUUCUUCCUUUUAGAAGGACUAAGUACAUCUAUAUUAUUUCUCUGAGAAUCUUGCUCAAUUCUCUUAGGGUGGCCUUCAGGAUAUAGUGGUUCCUAAAUCAUUCUACCAGUUAUAGUAGCCACUCUAACAGCAUAAUCAUUAUUCUUACUAUUCAAUUCAUUGAGCAAAUCAUUUUGAGACUUAAGUACUUGUUCUACUUGAGUGGUAACUAUAGAAGCAUGUUUACUAAUGAGUUUAAGUUCACCUUUAACUCUAGACAUAUAAUCACCCAAGUAUUCAAGCCUAUCAGGAUUAUAUUUCAAUUAUCUACCAAUAAGCAUUAAAGUUUUCUUGUUUAACAAUGAAAUUGUCAAACUCAUCUAACCAUUGUCUAGCAGACUUAUAACGAGGGAUAUCACCUUCAUCAAAUCUAUAGAGAGAAUUUACCUUUACUACCUGUGUCGGGUUAUCAAGACCAUGUAUUUCUUCAAUAGGUAAUGGAUUAAGAUCAUAUGUUUCUUUAACAGGCGGUAAAUUAAGACCGUGUAUUUCUUCAAUAGGAGGUAAAUUCUUAACAUCUUCAGCUUUAAUAUCUUUUUCUUUCAUAGAUUUCUUUGUCGCUUGCAUAUCUUCAGGACUGAGAAAUAGAACACCCCUUUUCUUCGGAGUUGGUUUAGGAAUAGGUUCAGGAGUUGGCUCAGGAAGUGUCCAAUUAUUUUCAUUUGUCAACAUAUUAUUCAAUAGAAUUUCAGCUUCAUCCGGUGUUCUUUCCCUGAAAAUAGAACUAGCACAACUAUCCAAGUAAUCUCUGGAAGCAUCGCUUAGUCCGUUAUAAAAUAUAUCAAGUAUUUCAUUUUUCUUAAGAGGAUGAUCAAGCAAAGCAUUAAGUAACUUGAGAAGCCACCCCCAAGCUUGUGGGAGACUCACUUCUUCAAUUUGCACAAAAUUAUAUGUGUCCCUCAAAGCAACUUGUUUCUUAUGAGCAGUGAAAUAUUUAGCAAAGAAGUAAUAAAUCAUAUCCUUGGGACUAUGCACACAAUCAGGAUCAAGAGAAUUAAACCAUAUCUUAGCAUCACCCUUUAAUGAGAACGGAAAUAUUUUAAGGAUAUAAAGGUAGCGAUAUUUCUCAUCAUUAGUGAACAUGGUGGCUAUAUUAUUUAAUUUAGUAAGAUGUGCCGCAACAAUUUUAGAUUCACAGCCAUGAAAAGGAUCAUAAUCCUUAUCAGUAACACAGAUAGGUGAAGUAGCAAAAGCAGGGUCAGGUUUCAUUCUAGCAUUAAGGGAUUGCUGCUUCCAUUUAGCUAAUAACCUCUUGAGCUCGUAUCUAUCUUUGCAAGCUAAAAUAGCUAAAGCAGAUUCUUUUUUGAUCAUCACUUUAUUAGGGAGAGUCUCUUCAUCAUCACUUUCAUCAAUGUUAUCAGUUUCAAUAAUUUCAUUCUCUCUAACCCUAGCAAGUUGUUCAUCAAGAAAUUUACCAAGUGGCACAGUAGUAUCAAGCAUAGAAGUAGUUUCAGCAUAAGUAUCAUGCAUAGCAAAAGUGGCAUCAUCAAUAACAUGCGGCAUAUCAGAACGAAUAGCAGAAGCAGGUUUAGGUGUCGCAAGCUUACUCAAAACAGAAGGUGAAUCAAGUGCAGAGCUAGAUGGCAGUUCCUUACCUCCCCUCAUAGUUGAGGGAUAAAUCUUGGCUUUUGGAUCUCUCAAGUUCUUCAUAAUGAUAAGCAGAUAUAAAUCCCAAGUGACUCAAAGAAUAGAGCUAUGUUCCCCGGCAACGGCGCCAGAAAAUGGUCUUGAUAACCCACAAGUAUAGGGGAUCGCAACAGUUUUUGAGGGUAGAGUAUUCAACCCUAAUUUAUUGAUUCGACACAAGGGGAGCCAAAGAAUAUUCUCAAGUAUUAGCAGCUGAGUUGUCAAUUCAACCACACCUGGAUAACUUAAUAUCUGUAGCAAAGUAUUUAGUAGCAAAGUAAUAUGAUAGUAGUGGUAAUGGUAGCAAAAGGUAAUGAUAACAUAAGUAAUGUUUUUGAUAUUUUGUAGUGAUGAUAAUAAUAGCAACGGAAAAGUAAAUAAGCGAGGAACAAUAUAUGGAAAGCUCGUACGCAAUGGAUCGGUGAUAGAUAAUUAUGCCGGAUGUGGUUCAUCAUGUAACAGUCAUAACCUAGGGUGACACAGAACUAGCUCCAAUUCAUCAAUGUAAUGUAGGCAUGUAUUCCGAAUAUAGUCAUACGUGCUUAUGGAAAAGAACUUGCAUGACAUCUUUUGUCCUACCCUCCCGUGGCAGCGGGGUCCUACUGGAAACUAAGGGAUAUUACGGCCUCCUUUUAAUAGAGUACCAGACCAAAGCAUUAACACAUAGUGAAUACAUGAACUCCUCAAACUACGUUCAUCACCGGGAGUGGUCCCGGUUAUUGUCACUUCGGGGUUGCCGGAUCAUAACACAUAGUAGGUGACUGUAGACUUGCAAGAUAGGAUCAAGAACUCUCAUAUAUUGAUGAAAACAUAAUAGGUUCAGAUCUGAAAUCAUGGCACUCAGGCCCUAGUGACAAGCAUUAAGCACAGCAAAGUCAUAUCAACAUCAAUAUCAGAACAUAGUGGAUACUAGGGAUCAAACCCUAACAAAACUUACUCGAUUACAUGAUAAAUCUCAUCCACCCCAUAACCGUCCAGCAAGCCUACGAUGAAAUUACUCACACACGGCGGUGAGCAUCAUGAAAUUGGUGAUGGAGGAAGGUUGAUGAUGACGAUGGCGACGGAUUCCCCUCUCCGGAGCCCCGAACGGACUCCAGAUCAGCCCUCCUGAGAGGUUUUAGGGCUUGGCGGCAGCUCCGUAUCGUAAAACGCGAUGAAUCCUUCUCUCUGAUUUUUCUCCCCGAAAGCAAAUAUAUAGAGUUGGAGUUGAGGUCAUGUUCACCAACAUAUUCAUCACCUUCCCCCAUCUAUCAACAGCGGCCCACUCUCCCGCUACCCGAUGUACUCUCUACUUGAACAUGGUGCUUUAUGCUUCAUAUUAUUAAGAAACGGUGAAAUGGUAGAAUCUGUAACGCAGAAAAAGAGAGAGAUGGAGAGACAGAUCCAAUCUCGGAGGGGCUCUCGCCCCUCCGCCGCCAUGGAGGCCAUGGACCAGAGGGGAAACCCUUCUCCCAUCUAGGGAGAAGGUAAAGGAAGAAGAAUAAGAAGUGGCCCUCUCCCCCUCUCUACCGGUGGCGCCGGAACACCGCCGGGGCCAUCAUCGUGUGUCGGUGAUCUACACCAACACCUACCUCAUGUUCACCAACAUAUUCAUCACCUUCCCCCAUCUAUCUACAACGGCCCACUCUCCCACUACCCGAUGUACUCUCUACUUGAACAUGGUGCUUUAUGCUUCAUAUUAUUAUCCAAUGAUGUGUUGCCAUCCUAUGAUGUCUGAGUAGAUUUUCGUUGUCCUAUCAGUAAUUGGUGAAUUGCUAUGAUUGGUUUAAUUUUCUUGUGGUGAUGUUGCUGUCCCUUGGUGCCCAUCAUAUGAGCGCGCACAUGGAUCACACCAUAGGGUUGGUUGUAUGUUGAUAGGACUAUGUAUUGGAGGGAAAGAGUGACAGAAGCUUCAACCUAGCAUAGAAAUUGAUGCAUACGGGAUUGAAGGGGGACCAAUAUAUCUUAAUGCUAUGGUUGGGUUUUACCUUAAUGAACACUAGUAGUUGCGGGUGCUUGCUAAUAGUUCCAAUCAUAAGUGCAUAGAAUUUCAAGUCAGGGAUGACUUGCUAGCAGCGGCCUCUCUCACAUAAAAUUUGCUAUCGGUCUAGUAAAGUAGUCAAUUGCUUAGGGACAAUUUCGCAACUCCUACCACCACUUUUCCACACUCGCUAUACUAACUUUAUUGCUUAUUUACCAAAACAGCCCCUAGUUUUUAUUUACGUGCUCUUUAUAUUCUUGCAAACAUAUCUCGUUACACCUACAAAGUAUUUCUAGUUUUAUACUUUUUCUAGGUAAAGCGAACGUCAAGCGUGCAUAGAGUUGCAUCGGUGGUCGAUAAAACUUGAGGGAAUAUUUGUUCUACCUUUAGCUCCUCGUCGGGUUUGACACUCUUACUUAUCGAAAGAGGCUAUACUUGUGGGUUAUCAAGACCUUUUUAUGGCGCCGUUGCCAAGGAGUUAUAGCGUGGGGUGAAUAUUCUCGUGUGUGCUUGUUUUCUUUAUCACUAAGUAGUUUUUAUUUUGUGCUCUUGUUUUCUAUCUUUAGUUAUGGGUAGGAAACGCAAAAUACCAAAAAAAUUAGUUGUACCUACUAAACCAAUGGUUGAAGAACCACUCAAAAUCUAUCACACUCCUCAAGCUUUUUACUUGGAUCAACUUCGAUCCCUAUGUGCUCGUGCUGAAACCCCAACUAGCUUAGUUGAAGGCAAAUCUUUAGAUGAGCAUGCUUGUUAUGUGCGACACCGCUUAUCUCAAAAAGGGAAACUUUUACGUGAUCAAAUUCAUCGUUUGCAAUGCUAUGCUUGGAAUUUAUGUGAAAUAUAUGAUUUUACUUGUUGUUCUGAAGACCCUAAGAAACACCUUCCCUACCAAUGUGAGUUUAGUGAUAAUGGAAUCGUAUCUUCGUAUGCUAAGGGUGUUUAUAAUUAUGAUGAUGUUCAACAAAUUGAAGAAUUUGUUGCUUUUAAGGGUGCUUAUGAAAUUGCUUCUUUGAUUGGAAAGUAUGAUGCUACUCUUUACAAAUCUGGAAAUUUUGCCAUACUUAAAUAUUGUUAUGAUAAUUAUGCUUCUAAUGACUAUGUUAAACCAUAUAUUGAGGACUCCUCCACUGUCCAAAAAGAGACUAAUAUUUUGCAGGAGUCUAUGGAAGAUGAAAUUGAUGAAACUGUGAGCUCAUUGGAUGAAAAAGAUGAUGAGGAGAGCGAAGAAUAAAAAGAGGAAGAGCGGAUUAGCUACCCGUGCCCACCUUCUAAUGAGAGUAACUCUUCAACUCAUACAUUAUUUAAUUUCCCUUCGUUCUUACCAGAGGAUGAAUGCCAUGAUAAUUGCUAUGAUCCCAUUGAUUCGUUUGAAAUAUCCCUUUUUGAUGAACUUGAUGCUUGCUAUGCUUGUGGCCAAGAUGCCAAUAUGAAUUAUGCUUAUGGAGAUGAACUUGCUAUAGUUCCUUAUGUUAAACAUGAAAUUGUUGCUAUUGCACCCAUGCAUGAUAGUCCUAUUAUCUUUUUGAAUUCUCCCGACUACACUAUAUCGGAGAAGUUUGCACUUAUUAAGGAUUAUAUUGAUGGGUGGCCUUUUACCGUUGCACAUGAUAAUUUUGAUAGAUAUAAUAUGCAUGUGCUUACUGCUCCUACUUGCAAUUAUUAUGAGAGAGGAACUACAUCUCCGCCUCUCCAUGUUUCAAAUAUGAUAAAAUUGCAAGAAACUGUUUAUACUAUGCAUUGGCCUUUACUAUGUGUGCAUGAAUUGUUCUUUUAUGACAUGCCGAUGCAUAGGAAGAGAGCUAUACUUCGUUGUUCCAUGAUAUAUGUUACUUUGCGCUCACUACUAAAUCAUAAAUCAUUGUUAAUUAAAAUUGGCUUUGAUAUACCUUGGGAUCCGGGUGGAUCCAUUACUUGACCACUAUAUGCCUAGCUUAAUGGCUUUAAAGAAAGCGCUGCCAGGGAGACAACCCGGAAGUUUUAGAGAGUCAUUUAUUUAUGUUGAGUGCUUUUAUAUAGUUCUAAAAAAUAAAAAUAAAAAGGGGAACCCAAAACUUUUCGAAAAGGAAAGUGAAAGUGAGAGAGACAAGCAUUGUUGAAGUGGGGGAGCUCCUUGAACUUUGUUCAUGCUCACGGAAACAUUAUGAAUCUUGAUUACAGAAACUUUUCAACAAAAAUAAUUAUCCCCUUGUACAAUUCCAUUGUAUUAUAAAAAUAACGUGCCAUGAAUUGCCUUUAGGAUGUUUACAUUGCUUGUCGGUUUGUGCGGUGCAGAACAGAAACUUUGGCUCUAGUGCGUGAUUUUACAUUUUUUUACUGGAACAUCAAACGGUUCUGAAACUUUUUGAACAGUCUUUCUAUACAAAUUUUUUAUUUUUCCUAAUUUUUCAGUAUUUUUGGAGUACCAGAGGUAUGGUGAAUGUUCAGAUUAUUUCAGGCUGUCCUGUUUAAGACAGAUUCUGUUUUUGAUGCAUAGUUUACUUGUUUUGAUGAAACUAUCGAUUUCUAUCAGUGUAUUAAGCCAUGGAAAAGUUAUAUUACAGUAGCUACAAUGCAAAAACAAAAUAUGAAUUGGUUUGCAACAAUACCUAGAGUAGUGAUUUCUUUAUUAUACUAACGGAUCUUACCGAACUUUCUGUUAAGUUUUGUGUGAUUGAAGUUUUCUAGUUUUGGGAGAGAUCACAAUGGAUGAAGGAAUAAGGAGUGGCAAGAGCCUAAGCUUGGGGAUGCCCGAGGCACCCCAAGGAAAUAUUCAAGGACUCCCAAGCAACCAAGCUUCGGGAUGCUCUGGAAGGCAUCCCCUCUUUCUUCUAACAAUCAUCGGUAAUUUUACUUGGAGCUAUAUUUUUAUUCGUCACAUGAUAUGUGCAAAUCUUGGAGCGUCUUUUGCAUUUAGUUUUCACUUUUGUUUUAUGCACCAUGCUGGUAUGAGAUAGUCCAUGGUAGAUUUAUAGAAUUCUCAUUGCACUUCACUUAUAUCUUUUGAGUAUGGCUUUAUAGAAUGCUUCAUGUGCUUCACUUAUAUCAUUUGAAGUUUGGAUUGACUGUUUCUUUUCACUUAGAAAACCGCCAUUUGUAGAAUGAUCUUUUGCUUCACUUAUAUUUCUUAGAGCAUGGGCAUAUCUUUUGUAGAAAGAAUUAAACUCUCUUGCUUCACUUAUAUCUAUUUAGAGAUGACAGCAGGAAUUGGUCAUUCACAUGGUUAGUCAUAAAAUCCUACAUAAAACUCGUAAAUCACUGAAUAUGAUAUGUUUGAUUCCUUGCAAUAGUUUUGAGAUAUAAAUAGGUGAUAUUAGAAUCAUGCUAGUGGGUAGUUGUGGAUUGUAGAAAUACUUGUGUCGAAGUUUGUGAUUCCUGUAGCAUGCACGUAUGGUGAACCGUUAUGUAACGAAGUUGGAGCAUGAGGUAUUUAUUGAUUGUCUUCCUUAUGAGUGGCGGUCGGGGACGAGCGAUGGUCUUUUCCUACCAAUCUAUCCCUCUAGAAGCAUGCGCAUAGUACUUUGUUUCGAUGACUAAUAGAUUUUUGCAAUAAGUAUGUGAUUUCUUUAUGACUAAUGUUGAGUCCAUGGAUUAUACGCACUCUCACCCAUCCAUCAUUGCUAGCCUCUUCGGUACCGUGCAUUGCCCUUUAUCACCUCGAGAGUUGGUGAAAACUUCACCGGUGCAUCCAAACCCCGUGAUACGAUACGCUCUAUCACACAUAAGCCUCCUUAUAUCUUCCUCAAAACAGCCACCAUACCUACCUAUUAUGGCAUUUCCAUAGCCAUUCCGAAAUAUAUUGCCAUGCAACUUCCAUCAUCAUAUACAUGACUUGAGCAUUUAUUGUCAUAUUGCUUUGCAUAAUCGUAAGAUAGCUAGCAUGAUGUUUUCAUGGCUUAUCCAUUUUUUGAUGUGUUGCUACGCUAGAUGAUUGCACAUCCUGGUACACCGUCGGAGGCAUUCAUAUAGAGUCAUAUCUUUGUUCUAGUAUCGAGUUGUAAUAUUGAUUUGUAAGUAAAUAAAAGUGUGAUGAUAAUCAUUAUUAGAACACUGUCCCAUGAUCAAAAUAAAAGUGGCCAAAGAAGCCCCCCCCCCCAAAAAAAGAUAGAGGCCAAAGAAGCCUAAAAAGGGACAAUGUUACUAUCCUUUUACCACACUUGUGCUUGAGAGUAGCACCAUGUUCUUCAUCUAGAGAGUCUCUUGAGUUAUCACUUUCAUAUACUAGUGGGAAUUUUUAUUAUAGAACUUGCCUUGUAUAUUCCAAUGAUGGGCUUCCUCAAAUGCCCUAGGUCUUCAUAGCAAGCAAGUUGGAUGCACACCCACUUAGUUUUCAAUUUGAGCUUUCAUACACUUAUAGCUCUUAGUGCAUCCAUUGCAUGGCAAUCCCUACUCCUCGCAUUGACAUCAAUUGAUGGGCAUCUCCAUAGCCGUUGAUUAGCCGCGUCGAUGUUAGACUUUCUCCUUUUUGUCUUCUCCACACAACCUCCACCAUCAUAUUCUAUUCCAUCUAUAAUGCUAUAUCCAUGGCUCACGCUCAUGUAUUGCGUGAAAGUUGAAAAGGUUUGAGAACGUCAAAAGUAUGAAACAAUUGCUUGGCUUGUCAUCGGGGUUGUGCAUGAUUUGAAUAUUUUGUGUGGUGAAGAUGGAGCAUAGCCAGACCAUAUGAUUUUGUAGGGAUAACUUUCUUUGGCCAUGUUAUUUUGAAAAGACAUGAUUACUUUAUUAGGAUGCUUGAAGUAUUAUUGUCUUAAUGUCAAAUGAUAGACUAUUGCUUUGAAUCACUUGUGUAUUAAUAUUCAUGCCAUGAUUAGAUUAGAUUACAUGAUCAAGACUAUGCUAGGUAGCAUUCCAUAUCAAAAAUUAUCUUUUUUAUCAUUUACCUACUCGAGGACGAGCAGGAAUUAAGCUUGGGGAUGCUGAUACGUCUCCGUCGUAUCUACAAUUUUUGAUUAUUCCAUGCCAAUAUUCUACAACUUUCAUAUACUUUUGGCAAAUUUUUAUACUAUUUUUGGGACAAACAUAUUGAUCUAGUGCCCAGUGCCAGUUCCUGUUUGUUGCAUAUUUUUUGUUUCGCAGAAAAUCCAUAUCAAACGGAGUCCAAGCGGGAUAAAAACUGACGGAGAUUUUUUUUGGAAUAUAUGUGAUUUUUGGGAUGAAGAAUCAACGUGGGACGAUGCCCGAGGGGGCCACGAGGCAGGGGGCGCGCCUCAGGGGGUCAGGCGCUCCCUGGGCCCUAGUGGCCACCCUGUAAGGUGGUUGGUGCCCUUCUUUCGCCGAAAGAAAGCUAAUAUCCGCAUAAAAACCGUGUCCAAAAUUCAACCCAAUCGGAGUACGUAUCUUUGGGAAUUUAAGAAACGGUGAAAUGGCAGAAUCUGGAACGCAGAAAAAGAGAGAGAUGGAGAGACAGAUCCAAUCUCGGAGGGGCUCUCGCCCCUCCGCCGCCAUGGAGGCCAUGGACCAGAGGGGAAACCCUUCUCCCAUCUAGGGAGAAGGUAAAGGAAGGAGAAUAAGAAGUGGCCCUCUCCCCCUCUCUACCGGUGGCGCCGGAACACCGCCGGGGCCAUCAUCGUGUGCCGGCGAUUUACACCGACACCUACCUCAUGUUCACCAACAUAUUCAUCACCCAUCUAUCUACAGCGGCCCACUCUCCCGCUACCCGAUGUACUCUCUACUUGAACACGGUGCUUUAUGCUUCAUAUUAUUAUCCAAUGAUGUGUUGCCAUCCUAUGAUGUCUGAGUAGAUUUUCGUUGUCCUAUCAGUAAUUGGUGAAUUGCUAUGAUUGGUUUAAUUUUCUUGUGGUGAUGUUACUAUCCCUUGGUGCACAUCAUAUGAGCGCGCGCGUGGAUCACACCAUAGGGUUGGUUGUAUGUUGAUAGGACUAUGUAUUGCAGGGCAAGAGUGACAGAAGGUUCAACCUAGCAUAGAAAUUGAUGCAUACGGGAUUGAAGGGAGACCAAUAUAUCUUAAUGCUAUGGUUGGGUUUUACCUUAAUAAACGUUAGUAGUGCGGAUGUUUGCUAAUAGUUCCAAUCAUAAGUGCAUAUAAUUCCAAGUCAGGAUGACAUGCUAGCAGCAGCCUCUCUCACAUAAAACUUGCUAUCGGUCUAGUAAAUUAGUCAAUUGCUUAGGGACAAUUUCGCAACUCCUACCACCACUUUUCACACUCGCCAUACUAACUUUAUUGCUUCUUUACCUAAACAGCCCCUAGUUUUUAUUUACGUGCUCUUUCUUGAAAACAUAUCCCGUUACACCUACAAAGUAUUUCUAAUUUUAUACUUGUUCUAGGUAAAGCGAACGUCAAGCAUGCGUAGAGUUGUAUCGGUGGUCGAUAAAACUUGAGGAAAUAUUUGUUCUACAUUUAGCUCCUCGUUGGGUUCGACACUCUUACUUAUCGAAAGAUGCUACAAUUGAUCCCCUCUUGUGGGUUAUCACUGCACCUUGUUUACUUUUGUUACUUGUUACCUGUUACGAAUUACUUUAUCACAAAACUAUUGGUUACCGAUAAUUUCAGUGCUCGCAGAGAAUACCUUACUAAAAACCGCUUGUCAUUUCCUUCUGCUCCUCGUUGGGUUUGGCGCUCUUACUUAUCGAAAGGGCUACGAUAGAUCCCCUAUACUUGUGGGUCAUCAAUGCGGUUCGCGGCGGCGGGUGGGUGAUCAAUGCAAUCACACGCGAGGUUGGGGACGCUGCCCGAUGAAGGAGGCGGAGUCCGAGAUGAAGCCGGUGACGAUGGACGGCGUGGGACGACGUGUGGGCGAGCGCGUCAGCACCGACACCCGGACCACCAAAGCAGCGUCGGCGCUCGGGCAGCGAGGCCCGAGCGACCAACGGAGCAGCGGCGCCCGAGCUCGAGGCAGCCAACGGACCUAACGCGGCCGGCCCGACCACUACUAGGAAAAGGGCUAUAGAUGAUAUGGCCACUAAUGGCGCACCAGACAUGUGGUGUGCCACUACUAUAUACUAAUGGCGCACCACAUCCACGAUGCAUCAUCGGUAACAAUUUUUUUUUCAUUUUUUUCAAAACUAGUAAUGGCGCACCAGUGGAUAGUGCGCCAUUACUAGUUAAGCUAGUAAUGGCGCACCACAUCCACGGUGCGCCACUAGUAAUUUUUUUCAAAUUUUUUUAUUUUUUUAAACUAGUAAUGGCGCACCGGUGGAUAGUGCGCCAUUACUAGUUAAACUAGUAACUAGUAAUGGUGCACCACAUCCACGGUGCGCCACUAGUAAAAUUUUUUCAUUUUUUUUAAUUUUUUAUUUUUUUCAAAACUAGUAAUGGCGCACCAUGGGUGUGGUGCGCCAUUACUAGUUGAACUAGUAAUGCCGCACCACNNNNNNNNNNNNNNNNNNNNNNNNNNNNNNNNNNNNNNNNNNNNNNNNNNNNNNNNNNNNNNNNNNNNNNNNNNNNNNNNNNNNNNNNNNNNNNNNNNNNNNNNNNNNNNNNNNNNNNNNNNNNNNNNNNNNNNNNNNNNNNNNNNNNNNNNNNNNNNNNNNNNNNNNNNNNNNNNNNNNNNNNNNNNNNNNNNNNNNNNNNNNNNNNNNNNNNNNNNNNNNNNNNNNNNNNNNNNNNNNNNNNNNNNNNNNNNNNNNNNNNNNNNNNNNNNNNNNNNNNNNNNNNNNNNNNNNNNNNNNNNNNNNNNNNNNNNNNNNNNNNNNNNNNNNNNNNNNNNNNNNNNNNNNNNNNNNNNNNNNNNNNNNNNNNNNNNNNNNNNNNNNNNNNNNNNNNNNGUUUCCCAUGUGAUACGUGGUCUACUUGUUGGGAAAAUUUACAAAUAUGAAUUUCGACUUUAUUUGCAAAAUCUCUCUGGAAUUUGUAAAAUGGGAACCUCGUUAAACAUUUUCAAAAUCCCCAAAAACCUAACAGAAAAAAGUUACGGAGCUUUUAAGAUCUAGAGGGAAAAAAUGGAAAAAAAAUUCAAACUUACUAGUGGCGCACCGUUUGCUAGGUGCGUCACUAGUAACAGAAAAAAAAUGUUUCAAAAAAAAUUUGAUUUUUUUCAAAAUAUGAUACGUAAUAUGACCGGAAAGUUUGAAAUAUUUUUUCAAAAUUUCAUCAUACUCAUGAACAUGAACUAAGUCCUAGACAUCAACAAGGUUUAAUAGGAUUGAUAUGAUAGAUAUAUCAACAAGUGCCAGUGAAGUGAGCUGGUGCUGGGGUUGGAUAGAACUGCGAAGUUAAGCGUGCUUGGGCUGGAGUAGUGUGAGGAUAGAUGACCUUCCAGAAAGUUUGACCACAAAGUGCGAUUUGACUUGAUAUUAAGCAUAUUGACCCGAGAUUAAGCCAUAGUGACCAGAUACUAAUAGCGCACCGUGGGCUAUACUAAUGACGCACCUGUGGUGCGCUAUUAGCAUACCAGAUACUAAUGGCGCACCAGUGUUGCGUCAUUAGUAAAAAAUUCUAAUGGCGUGGUGCUAGUGGCGCACCUGUAGUGCACCAUUAGUAGCGAAAACAGAUGCGCCACUAGCAGCCCUUUUCCUAGUAGUGGACGUAGUAGGGAUGAGGCCGGCGAGGCAACCCGCAGGGCCACCCUGUAGAUGCGGCGGAGGCGGGUGGCGUGGAACGAUUGGCGGGCCGACGCGCGAGCGGCGGCUAUGAUUGGCCGCCGCAUGGCGCGCGGCCGCUGGAUGGAGGCGAUGCAGGUGUCCGGGUCGAAAAGGACGGAGACGGUCGACGUAGAUCGACGGCGCACACACGACGACCAUGAGGGGCCGCCUGUCGCGCGAGGCCGCUGGGUCGUUGAAGGAGCCGGCCGAUCGUGAUGGUGUCGGAGUAGAGGCGCACGGGGUCCACGACAGCGGCGAACGACGCAAACCGAACGGCGAGAGAGUGAAAAAAAAUGUCGAUCAAAACGACCGGAUAGAGUAAAAACUCGGAUCAUAAUUUGACACCAUGGGGUAAAAUUGAAAUUGGAGGCAGUCCCUUUUUCCCUCCCGUUUCCGGUUUCCACUUCGUCUCCGGCUACGAAUCCAAAUGCGUACAUGCUUCCGUCGUAGUCUCGCCCAAGCCAGAGCCACGCAGCGCGUUGACCUCGUGGGGUACGGGGACCACUCGAGUACGUCUCGCUGACGCCUCAAUAUAUACAGCCGCCACCAUGCGAUCCUCUCCUCGUUUCCUUUCCUUUCCGGCCGCGCUUCCAUCGACCUCCUCCUCCUCCUCCUCCGUUCCCGAUGGGCGUCUUCCCCGGCGGCGACCACCCCGACUUCAAGGUGGACACGAACGGCGGCGCCCCGAUGCUCACCUUCUGCAAGAGGGCGCGCUACUGGAGCUCCACCGACUACCAGGAGACGCGCGCGCUCGGCGAGGGCGGCUACGGCGGCGUCGUCGAGGCGCGCCACCUCACCCACGGCUGGACCGUCGCCGUCAAGAAGCCGCUCCCUUGCGCGCACGAGGCCGCCGGCAUCGCCUGCGGCUGCGCCGACGCCCGCACGCUGUGCGAGGCGGCCUUCCUCGCGGCGUGUCACCGCCACCGCGCCAUCGUCGAGCUCCGGGCGCUCUCGCUCGCCCCUUCGCCGGGAAGCUCUCCGUCGUGAUAGAGUGCGUCGGGCCCAGCCUGCACCACGUCCUCCAUGGGCACCGGCGCGGCCGGCCGUUCCCCGAGGCCGAUGUGCGCUGCAUCAUGGAGCAGCUCCUCGGCGCCGCCAAGCACAUGCACGGGCUCCGCAUCAUGACAUCAUCCACCGCGACAUCAAGCCGGGGAACAUCCUCGUCGGCGCGGACGGCAUCAGCAACGUCAAGAUCUGCGACCUAGGGCUCGCGGUGUCCAUAUCCGAGCCCGCGCCGUACGGCCAGCACGGCACACGCCGGUACAUGGCGCCGGAGAUGCUCCUUGGCGAAACCAACUACGAUGCCACGGUUGACAUGUGGUCCCUCGGCUGCGUCAUGGCCGAGCUCCUCUCCGGGAAGCCGCUCUUCGACGGGGACGACGAUGCCCAACAGCUCCUCGCCAUCUUCCGCGUUCUCGGCGUGCCAUUGUUCACCAUCUUGCCAGCCUACGAGUCAUUGUCACUCGCCGGAAAGCUGGUGACGCCGCCGCAUGUCAUUUCCCGCAACAAGCUCCGUGAGCACUUUUCCGAGGACCGCCUCUCCAAAGAAGGCUUCGAAGUCCUCAAGGGGCUCCUCUCGUGCAACAUCGACAAGAGGUUGUAUGCCACCACCGCGCUCAGGCGACCAUGGUUCGCCAACGUCGUCGUCGAGGCGCGCCACCUCACCCACGAGUGAGAGAAUGCACCUUAUGAGGGCGCCACAUGUUGUGGCCCGAGGAGGGCCGCCCGUACGAAGUGUGCGCGUUGGAAGAUUACCUUCGGGACACGGGCGCCGGCUGAGGGGUGGAGGCCUACCGCAUGGCCCAUGGAAUUUAUUCAUUUUUUCUUUUUUUUUGUGAAGUUCCUAAAAAAUUGAACAUCCAAAAAUUGGGGGUUCAAAUUUCAUAAUUUAUAAAAGUUCUUGAAAGUUGAGUAUUUUGAAAGUAUGAAUUUCUAAAAAUUCAAAAAUAUAGAAAUUCCAUUUUUGUGGAAAUUUUUAGAACUAUAAAAGACUCUACAAGUAAGUACGGAAAUUCUUUUAAAGUUUAAAAUUCUGAAAGACGGAUUUUUUUUUAAAGUUGUAGACACAUAUUUUUGGAAGUUGCUAACAAGGAAACAUGUCAAAAAGGGAAGUUUGCCGAGGCAUUGGACUUUCCCAAAACCGUAAAAAAGCAUGGUCGAAAUCUUCCGCCCCUCCUUACUGUGCGCCUCCUAUGCUCCUAUGAAAUAGAGCCCCUAUUUUGACUUGUUACGUGUGUCACAAUUAGGGUUGUAUGUUAAUAUGUUAUACGUCAUGUAUAACUUAGACGUGGUUUGUCAUUCAUGAUAAUACAUAUUCUGGUUGUAGGGAGGCCUUAUUUCACAUUAGCAACCGAACUUUGUGAGCGCAUGUUUAUUUUAGGGCCAUCUGCAUUUCUAUCCUUAACUCGAACCAUCUACUCAGAUUUAUCCCUAAUUUUGAAGCAUGCUCAAAUUUACCCCUCCGUCGUUAAGUGACCUUACAAAAAUACCCUUCCAUUCCGUUUUCGUCCGGUCAAAGGGGUUUGACCGUCUAACUGACAUUUUUUGGACAAUUUGCCCCUACCUCCAUGUGUCACUUACAAGUGGGACCGAGUGAGAAAAAAAUAAAAAGGAAAAACAGUUUCUCUCACCCCUCACUCUCUCUACCCUCUCUCUCCACCUCCUCUCUCACUUACACGUGGGACCCCACAUGUAAGUGUCUAGUUAUUUUUAAUUAGUUUAGCAGUUUUGUUAAUUGGUAGGGCCUGCCGAUUUUGUCUCGGUAAUUAGCAUAAUAUUUAACACAUGGUAGGAUUAGUGCUAAUCUAGCUAAUGGGCCCCACAUGUCAUAGAAAGCCCAUUAGUACUAAUCGAACCACCGGCGUUAAGCCGCCGGCGAGCAAACGCCACGGCGGAGGGCGGGGGAGCUCUGUUCUGGCGACCAAACGACUGGUGGAAUGGUCCUUUGCGCUCCUGGGCUUGCUCCACGUUGAAUAGAAGUGGCAGGGCGAGCGGGGACGGCCAGAGUGUCGGGCAUGGCCUAGGCCGCCGGCGGCAGCGGUCAAAGCUAGGUGGCAGGGGGGCUAGAAAGCAGGGGGGAGAGGGGUCGGCAUCAGCGUCUCACUGCGAGCAUGCCAGAGUCUUCAAAGGGUCUGGGGACGGCCGAGCAUGAGCACACGGACCUCGCCUACGGCCGCCGGAGCAAGGCGUCGUGGGGAGGCGGCUGGACAAAGAAGAGCUCGUCGGCGACAUGUCCGGAAGUUCCGCAACACCGUAUGGAUCUCCUAUACGAUAAGGGAGCACCAAGGGACCUUGUACGACGGAAAAUCGAAGACGGCGGCCGGUGGGCAGAGGUGGCGGUGAUCUCGUCGGUUGCGUAGUUGCAAGGCACCCGAGGUCCAGAUCUACGGUGUGGUGAUGCUCUAUUCUACGGCGGGCCUUGCAGACACGGCGGUCCGGCUUCUUGCCGUCGUUGGCCACGUUAACGGCGGCGCUCGGGUGAACGGGCGGCCGGACACGCCCUUAGCCUCUGAAGACGAAGAAGAUGACCAUCCAGUGGGCUGGGCUGGCUGGGCUUUUCUGGGCCAAAAGGCUAGCAUGCGUUCUCUCUCUCUCUCUCUCUUCUUUUUAAAUUUAUAUCUUAUUUUUUUUCAGGGGCAAAACGUCCAACAAACGCCCAGAAAACGGUCAAAGCCCUUUGACCUGACGGAAACGACAUGGAGGGGUAUUUCUAUAAGGAGACUUGACGGCGUAGGGGCAAAUUUGCGCAAGCUUUGAAAUUAGGGGCAAAUCUGAGUAGUGGGUUCGAGUUAGGGACACAGAUGUAAAAGACCCUUUAUUUUAGAAAAAAGGCUAUCACUUGACUUUAAACUAGUGAAGCCCUUACAACCAACAUAACAACAUAACAUUAGUAGAAAACACACCUUUGGUUUUUGCUAGAUCAGAGCAACAGUCCCGGUCGUGUUACGAACCGGGACUAAUGGGAGCAUCAAUCCCGGUUCGAGCGGGUAGGACGUUGGCCGAGCCGCGACAGGCAUCAAUCCCGAUUCGGCUGGGACCUUUAGUCAGGGUUCCAGCCACCAACCGGGACUAAAGGGCCUAGCUCCUAGCCCAACCUCUUUAGUUCCGGUUGGUGCCUUGGACCGGGACUAAAAGGGGGGGGGGCUUUAGUCUUGGUUCUAAACACCAACCGAGACUAAAAAGAUGCCUAUAUAUAUGGUCGCCCCUGCCCGCUCUGUCCUCUGUUUUUUUUUGGCCAGCCAACGUGUGGAAGGUGUGUGUUUCUCUGUUCUCACCUACUAUGCACACGAGGUGUUCGGUGAAAUGCUUGAGCCACAUUUAAGCUUUCUCCUCUCCAAACUCGACCUCCAAACUCCAUUUUCCCCAAGAUUUGUCUAGAUUUGACAAUGCACCAACUAUCCAAGUGUUCUAAAAGGUUAGCAACUUCAACGUUUCAUCUCUCACUACUAGUUUAGCUCAUUUCAAAUGCUCUAGAAGUGUUUUAGUGGAGGAGUGUAUGUGCACAGUUUGAGCUCAAAUUAACUUCUUAGAGUUUGCACAUGUGUAGGGUGCCAUCCCGUCUCCGUCCCUGUCCUCACCGUCGUCGAUCGCCCAUGCCGAUCUCGUCGCUGGCACCACCGUGGUGAGCCUAUUGUUCUUAUCUUCUUCUUAAAAGAAAAAAAUCUUACAUGUAUUUCUGGAAGUUCCUAAUAAGGAAACAUGUCAAAAAAGGAAGUUUGGCGAGGCAUUGGACUUCCCCAAAACGGUAAAAAAAAGCAUGGCCGGAAUCUUCCACCCCUCCUUACUGUGCGCCUCAUAUGCUCCUAUGAAAUAGAGCCCCUUUUUUGACUUGUUGCAUGUGUCACAAUUAGGGUUGAAUGUUAUACGUGUAACAUGUAUAACCUAGACGUGGGCUGGUCAUUCAUGAUAAUAAAUAUUCUGGUUGUAGGGAGGCCUUAUUUCACAUUAGAACCAAACUUUGUGAGCGCAUGUUUAUUUCAGAGAAAAAAGGCUAUCGGUCGGCUUUAAAUUGGCGAAGCCCUUACAACCAACAGAACAACACAACACCACAGUAUAAAUAAAAGGCAAUGGCAAGAUACAAGGGUUCUUAGGUGGGGUAACAAAGAACCCAGAUGACCCAAGGAGAUAACAAGAAAUAAUUGAGCACUGCUUGGAGUCGUCAAAGCCCUCAUACGCGAUCGGAGGACUGAAGCAACAGACGAGGCAAACUCGAGAAGAAUAUAGAUGUCAACAAAGGCCAUGCCAUCACCAUCACUUGGUUUUACUGGCACUUGAGCGCCUUCUAGUUCCAUCGUCGAAAUGACCCCCCUGCUCCCUCGGCUCGGCUCGAAGGGUGUCACAUCAUCCGACGAUGGGAUGCUCUCACUAGUGCCUCAAUGGAAAAAAACACCAUGACCAAAAGGGAGGCCUCCGAACAUAGCGACCCCGCCGAACCUAGCUUCCAUUGAGAGCACUGCCACCAAGACCACAGAAUCGUCACCACAAAGAGAGAAAGCUACCGUACAUGAACCACAAUCUUGAUAAUCUAUAGAGAGGGGCCUUGCUCAAUGGACGGGACCUCCAAGGAGGGAACGGUGCCAGAAUGCAGCCAUCGCCCUGUCUGGCAUGCCAACUCAAGGGUUCCCAUCCAAAGCCCGUGGUGGAGGAGGCCAACCCACGAUGGCACCUCUAAAAAGGGGAGCGGCGCUCAAGAGCGUCAUCUUCACUGGCACCGACACCAUCAGGCAGAGCUUUCCCCCGGGACACACCACACUACCAUGCGAAGUCCAUCGGCCACCAUUGUAGGGGAACGUGUUACGCAACAAAAAAAUCUACACGACCACAUGCAGGAUCCUUCUGUGGAGUAAGUUGGGGGAGGUCACUUUGCUACACGAAAACAUGGAUGAAAUUAGAUGGAAAUUCAGGUCAGAUGGUUUGUAAUCUGCCAAAUCUGGGUAAGAUGCAAUCUACUGGAGUCAUCAACUCAGACAUGCCUUAGCUGGUCUUGAAGCAUUGCGCCCCUAGGGUUUGGACUACAGAUAAAAUAGACUGGAGAGGUUGGCGUAACCAUGACCUUUGCCAAUUAUGUAAGAGAGACGAAGACUGCAUAUCACCUCCUUUUCAAAUGUCGAAACUCUAUCCAGACAUGGAGUAUGUUAGGAAAUUGGCUAGGCCCCAACCAGAGUUGUCUGGCUAGCUAGACCGUCUUUCCUUCGGUUAAAGAGUGGUGGAUGCACAUGUUGUGAUGCCGGACCAUGCUUCUCUCUUGGGAGAUUUGUUUGCAACAAAAUAAAUACUUUUUUCCUUUCAUAAUGAAUCUAACACGCUGACCUUCAAGACAUCCAAUCCAAAAUCAGUGGCGGAGCUAGCGGCGAAUCAAAGGGAGGGCCAAAGAGAAAGUAUGCACCUUUGAAGGGGCCAAAAGACAACAAUCUUCUUNNNNNNNNNNNNNNNNNNNNNNNNNNNNNNNNNNNNNNNNNNNNNNNNNNNNNNNNNNNNNNNNNNNNNNNNNNNNNNNNNNNNNNNNNNNNNNNNNNNNNNNNNNNNNNNNNNNNNNNNNNNNNNNNNNNNNNNNNNNNNNNNNNNNNNNNNNNNNNNNNNNNNNNNNNNNNNNNNNNNNNNNNNNNNNNNNNNNNNNNNNNNNNNNNNNNNNNNNNNNNNNNNNNNNNNNNNNNNNNNNNNNNNNNNNNNNNNNNNNNCCCCUCGGCAUUGCACAUAGGUCCGCCACUUUUCGAGAUUAAGGGUGACGAGCGCACUUGGGCAGUUCCAGAAAGGGUGGGCGCGCUUUCUCGUCUUAUUUCCCUCUCCCCACACCCACACACACAUCUCGGAAGAAAAGUACUUCCUUUAUAUAUCAAAAUGUAAAGAUGUUUUUUUCUGGUUGGGCAUAAAAACGUCUUAUAUUUUGUUACGGAUGGAGUAGAAAUGAAAGAGAAAGCAUAGCCAUGGAGCUAAACUGAUAAGCUGUUGCAUUUUUUCGUUCACUGUGAAUAGACAGCAUACAGCUACUCAAUAAAAAGAAAAAAUAGACAGCAUAAGAACAGUUCCAAGACUGAAACGGACACAAACGGACGUGGCCGGGCCAUUUGGAUCCCCACACCCACACAGAACAGCUCCAAGGCUGGAUCAUUGUGGCGAGAUCUACAGCCUCUAACGAUCGAGGACACAUGAAACCGCUGAAGUCACACGCACAGGCCUGAC
This 86952-nucleotide long non-coding RNA is filed under the name Triticum aestivum (bread wheat). RNAcentral's name for it is "long non-coding RNA (TAES_LNC005797)". The record is from RNAcentral. Lineage: Eukaryota; Viridiplantae; Streptophyta; Magnoliopsida; Poales; Poaceae.